UGAGUAGUACUAUUUGAUGUUGGAGUUUGAGGUCGUACCUCAAAACGGAUUGUGAUGCUAGGUGGAGACAUCACGAGGAUGAUGUUGCCUAAGCCUGUAGUACUCUACCAGUGUUAGGGACUUGUGGAAUGAUAAUUCCAAGCCUUUUGGAUGGAUUUGUGGAACCGGUCGCGGAUGGCCGUGAAUAUUCCUACGAAGGAUUGAGAGGAUCGACUGCGAGGCAGGUUGACAUGAUCGAGAUGUGAAACUCUCACUGUUGGAUCAAGUGAUUGGAAACUCGAGGGGGGGAAAGAUACCAAGUUGCUGUAUUUCCUUGCCCGAUUUAUGCACCAGGAACCAAAAUCUUGGAGAUGGAAACUGCGUGAGAGAGUUGUUUGGAUUGAUAUUUUUGGUUGAUGGUCACAUUAGGAUGACAUUGAUUGAGAGCUAUUAUUGAACUGUGGAUUGAUCCCUCUCUAUCACUUGAGAUUGGCUCGGUGACUAUGAACACCUGGAGCAUCCGAUGCUAAGGAAAGCAUUGAGGAUGAGAAUUUUUGAAUGAUUCUUAUGGAGCAACUGAAUGAUUAAUGUAGGAGACAUUCUAUCGAAGUUGAGCCUUUGGCUUAGGCUUGCGAAGAGUUUACUUGGACUUGAGUUGAGACUAAGAUGAUGAUCUUAGUGGAAUGACGAAGCUCCUGAGCUUUGGUCCCUGACCAUGUAUUGCAGAGGAUUUGAGGGUACUCUCGGGUGGUGAGUUUGAGAUUGAUGUGGAGGCAUCAUAGUGCCGUGCCGAUUGAGAAAUCAAGUAAUCACCUUUGGUGAGCAAGUUGGACGAUUCGUCGGUUCCUGUUGCUAUUGGAAGGUUGGCUACCUUGGAUGUUGGUUUAGAACCGUUCGUGCCAAGCAAGAUUAGACGGAUGGAUGGACGUUGCAAUUAGCAAUGAGAUGGAAUGGGGUACACCAUACUUAACCUUGGAUCGAAUUGCACUCAGUUGUGCCAUCUCGAGAAGAGACUUGAUCUUGGAUUUGAAGGAUCACCAUUGGAAUAUGAACCGAUGAGCGGAUGUUGCAUCACCUCUUCUUGGUGAGUGUUAAUCAGAUGAGCACUCCGAUGGUGUUUUGAUAGACGAGCAAUGGAUUUAACCCCCCCUGACGCUUGCUUUGGACAGUACCAUUGAAUCCACCUUGAGGGGUAUUUGGAUGGAAUCCUAUAUACUAGAGUAAUUGAAGCAGAGCAAGGCUUUACCCUCGGCUUGGACGAGAAAGGUGAGAAUUGGAAUUCAGCUCUCGGAAACACUUGAGUUCGUGAGGACCAGCUGAUGGACUUGUUGAACAAGUACGGAUUGGAGAUGGAACUUUCGGUGAAGACUUGAGUUCAAGGAGCUUUAGCGGAAGUUUAGGUUGUGUUAUGCCAAAGCCUUGAUGUCGCAAGAUCUUGUUGUGUUUGUGCCUUGGAGCUUUUCGGCACGUUUGAGACCUCCAUGGUCUGUUUAGGGCGCUGUUGGAGCGCUUUUCCAUCCCUUUCGGAUGGGUUUGUUGUGUGGUUGACCCGCAGUUUCAUGGAUGAAACUCCUUUUUAGGAGGGAAGAAUGUAACACACUGGACUUUUGCAUAUGGCAAGGUUCGAGUGUUUGAUCUGUGUUCCGAAUUUUUCAAGAUAUUCUGGAGGGUCGUCGAUAGUGGUCCGACCCAUGGCUCGCAUCCCGAGGAAUAUAGUAUUUUAUGUAGCACUAAGGUCACCAAAGGGAUGGACUUAGGCUGCCCUCGGAUUGCACUCUGCACAUGGUGAAACCGGUGACAGGUCGAUGGCUGUACCGGUACACAUUUUGUACCGGCACACUUUGAUGGUUGUACCGGUACACUUGUGCCGAAUUUCAAACCCGAGGCUUGGGUUUGCAUUUUCGCGGGAUUUGUACCGGUACACUUUUUCGUGUACCGGUACACUUUGGCAGAUUUUGAAUGGUCGAAUCUGCAGAGGUGUUUUUGCAAUGUGGCUUCCCUAUUUGUAUCCCCACGCCCUAGGAGCCUCCCCUGAGCUUGGCACCUACAAGGAGAAAGGUGAGGAAGCCCUCCACACCUCUCUUUGUAAUUUUCUUGAUUUUGUUUGGGUUUUAUAAGAUUAAAUGUCUCUUUUGCUUCUUUUUGGUUGUUGGAGGCUUUUCCCACCAUUGGAGCUUGAGUUUGAUGCUUGGUUGAGGAAAGAUCCUUGAAGUUUGAGAACUUUGAGCUUGGAUUGAAGCCUCUAAAAAGUUUGUAGCAAGAUCUUUUCCUCUAGAUUUGGUUUUUGAAGGUUUCUUUGAGAUGAAACCCUAGAAUGGGCUUUCAGGGUUGAUUUUGGGCUUUUUGGAUUUAGGACUUUUGGAGCUCAAUUUCUUGGAUUAGAACCUUCCUUUGGGUUAGAUUGGAAGGGUUCUAACUCUCUUUUGGAGCUUGAGAAGAGAUUUUCACUCUAUAGGUGAGUUUUAGCCCUUUUGUUGAUUUGGUUAAUAUUCGAUCACAAGGUUGUUCGUUUGAUUCGCUAAUCCCUUUUAGAAUGUCUUCUAGGGAGCUAGGAGGCUAGUGGGCAACCCCGUUCGGCGAAACGAAGGGUUCCGAGACGCUUCGGUGGGUUUCACCUAGCCACCUAAUGAGAAAAUCUCAUUUGUGAUGAUUUGAGUAUCGUAAAAUAAGAAAGCAUGCAUAUUCAUAUUAAAUAUAUUUGUUAUGAAUUUUAGAGUGAUCAAAAUGCCUAUGUUACAUAUAUUGUAUUUUUGGACCUAUAUGUAGUAGAGAGUUUGCAUGUUGGGUAAGCAUGAGGGUAGCAUUCUUAUUUGUGGAUGGGAAUCAUGUUUUAUUUAGUGGAAAUGGUUAGUGCAAUGCAUUUUGGGACUUGGAACUCAUGCUUAGUUUACAUGAUUAUAAAUGUCAUUAAGUGGCACUAGAUUCGAGAGAUGUAAGGUAUAUUAAGCUAAUGUCAUAAAGGGGCAUUAGCCUUGAAUGAUAUGUGAGUUGCAUGUGCAUGCUAACAUUACGAGAACUAUGCUAAGUUGAUAGUUGUAUACGGACGCAUUGAAACCUUAUGCUAGUGCAUAGAUGCAUGUUAAUAUUUAUAUGCAUUGUGGAAUACAUGCUAGGAACAUGUUAGCAAUGUGGGAUCACGCUAGGGGGCAUGCGUAUUAACCUAUAUAUGAUAUGGUAAGCUAAUGUCAUAAAGAGACAUCGGGCUUGGAUUUGACAUAGUAAGCUAAUGUCAUGAAGAGGCAUUAGGCUUAGAAUACAUAUGGACUUAGUAAACCAAGGUAAAUGACAUGUGAAUUUGGGAGCUAAUAUCAUAAAGCGGCAUUGAGCUCGGGUUACGGUGAACCUAGUGGAUAGGGCCAUUGAGAGUUUCAGGAUUGGAACAUACUUGAACAUAGAAAUGCCUUAGUGUCAUAAAGGGGUACUAGACCUAGUGAAUGUUGGAACUUCACAUUGAGUUAUGGAACUAGAUCAUUGGAUGCUAGUGGCUAUUACCAUGUUAGAGACAUGAUGAUUGGACUCUUAAGACGUUGAUUAUGCUUGCUUGCCAUUUGUGCUCAUUCGCACAUGCUUGUGAGGGUCGCUCCCUACAAGCCGGCACUCCGGAGUUGGCCUACGGGACUUAUGCUCGCUCUUGCGGUAUCGAGAAGCCUACGGGGUCGGGAGGGAUAGACUAAUUCCUAGAGUCGGAAUGUUUGAGCUACCACCGGCACUUAAACGGCACAAGCCGGACUACACUUGUGUAGGUCCUAAAUGGGAUUAAACCAGAAUAUUAAACAACAAGUUGAUAAUCACUACUAGACAGGUUAUAGUAGUUAGAUUCGUGACAUGCUAUGGCAUAGGAUUGAACUUUUGGAUAUAUAGUAUACUUGACAGUUUCGCAUAUUGCAUUGUAGUAUACUUGUUGCCAUGAUAGUACAUACUAGAUAUGUAGUGGACUUUGGGACAUAUAGCAUACUUCAUAGUAUUACUUGUUGUAUCAUAGCAUGUAUAUUUAAGUAUUGGUAGAUUGACUCAUGUAGAGUAGAUGUACUCCAUAUUGACAUUCUGAAUACUUGUGGCAUAGUAGUAUAGCAUUUCAAUAUAUGCUUUUAUUUCCGCAGUUGUUAUUUUGUUAUCUAUAUCUGCUUUUGAUUCGGCCUAGUGGUGCAUUUUGCUAAAGUCAGUAAUUGCCCAUUGGGAACUAUAAAUUAUAGUUCUCACGCCCCCUGUUUUAUGUUUUUUUUCAGAGCCUUCCACUCCGGGAGAGGCUCGGGAUCGCCGGAAAUGUUUCGCCUCGAGUUAGCUAUCGAGGGACUUGGUGAUAGGUAAUGCACCUCUCUUUUGUUUUCUUUUGGAGAGGUUGUGAGAGUUUUGUAUCUGGUUAUAGAGACCACCUUGUUUUUGUAUCUUGAGAUUUAUGAUGUAUUAGUUUGCUUUCUGCUUCAGUAGUUUAGUUAUCUUUUUGACUCUACUUGUCGAUAGAACCUAGCUGUGUUUUUGUUUUGAUAUCUCUAGAUAUUUUCUACUUCUUGUUCAUUUAUUCGUUUUUGUUGUAGACGCCUUAUAUGUGCAGGCAUAUGGUGGGUCUGGGCACGCACCGGGCGGGUCUACGCCGGGUCCCGGGGCGUGACACAUAUAGCUGUAGAUUUAUUCCAGCUUCCUUUUCUAUCACUAAGCAUAGAUCUGUAGACUUAGUGGGUGAGCCGAUGAUUUUGAGGGCGAUACCCUCUGAGGACUACUUCUUUUGCAGUAGUUGUCACGCCCAGUUGUUACUCCUAUUUUUGCAGAGCCAUUGCCUUCGGCUAUUGCUGUUACUGAUUUAGAUCGUGGCGAGGGCGUCGCGAGUUAGAGCCCUUCCAGCCGAGCCAGAGCUAGAGGAGUAUCAGCUACAGGUAGUUGUAGUUUUUGGUUCUUUACAUACUGAUAUUAUACCUCACUGGAGCGAGUGUUUUUGUACUAGGAUGAUAUGUAUGUAUCGAACCACUGUUUUAUAUAUGGUUUAGUUUCUUAGCAGCUCUAUACUACUGUUUGUAGUAUUGUUUGAUUAUAGAUACUUUUACUGUUUCGCUUCGUAUAUAGAAAAAAUUUCUAUGUAUACGGCGGGUCUGUUAGCGUGCCCGGGGAAACGGGUAAUCCGGGACAUGACAACCGUCACAGACCCCAACGGCCUACUUACUAAGUCUACGAGAUUAACAGUAUAGCUGGUAGGUAAAGAAACAGUUAGGUAAGCUGGAAUAAAACUCUACAGCUGCUAUGCCACUACUCUACCACUAUGCAUGUCAGGAUCCCUAUAAACAUAUGCUUCACUAGCUAAUAAAACAACCCUUACUGACCCAAUCUAUAGGGACUGCAGUAUGCCCGUCCCGCCUGUCUAAGCUAUACCGUACACCACCCCGAGGGCAGCCGGUUGUGGUGCCCCAACUUCCCAGGGGGUCACCCGUCCUAGGACUACUCCCAUCCUAGCGCGCUUAACUCUCUUAACCUCUUGGACCUAGCCACUACCAAAAUGCUUAAAGCGGGUUAAGAGUUUAGUUCUAUUAUAUCUUAUAUAUAGAACUACCUGGGGUCUCACAAUCUCCCCCCUUUAAGUCUUGACAUCCUCGUCAAGCUCAGACUUACAAUUACCAGGUGAUGUAAGACUCGUCUCGCUAGUCAUAACUGACUUUGUGGGGGAGCCACGCUCAACCCACAACAGUCAACAGCAUGAGAGCCUCGCUCUCGCUGCUGUAUAAUCCUGGCUUAGCUGAGACUCAUCUCACAUUUUCAGUUGGUAAUUGGUUCUGAUACCAACUGUGACGCCCCAACUUCCUAGGGGGUCACCCAUCCUAGGACUACUCUCGCCCUAGCACACUUAGAUCUCUUAACCUCUCAGGCCUAGCCACGCUCAAAAUACUUAAGCCCGAUUAUUAUUACUAGGGUGGAAAUGACAACUCCAUUUCUAUUCGAUGUGGGACUAUUGGGGUAUCACAAACACCCCCCGUUUAGGCCCUUACGUCCUCGUCAACCCUAAACACACACAACCCAAGAUCACAAGGCGAUGUGAGACUUAUCUCGUUAGCCUUUGUCAUUCCGACCCUGACUUAGCCUGUCAAUCACCGACCCUGGCUUAGUUCGUCAUUCCGACCUUGGCUCAGUCAAGACUCAUCACACACUUUCGGCUGGUGAACUGGCUCUGAUACUAACUGUGACGCCCCAACUUCCCAGGGGGUCACCAUCCUAGGAUUACUCCCGUCCUAGCACGCGUAACUCUCUUCACCUAUUGGGCCUAGUAACCACCCAAAAUGCUUAAGCCGGAUUAAGAGUUUAGUCCUAUUAUAUCUUAUAUAUGGGACUACCUGGGGUCUCAUAAUCAACCACAGUUUAGGAUAACCCUGUAAGGAAAUGUGCGCAUCUGCAUGUGCAUGUAAUGGAGCGGAAAUAAAUUUUAUUUGUAAAAUAUGAUCCAAUCAUGUAUACUUUAAUAUCAUAACAUUUAUAAUAUUAGUAUAUAUAUAUGUACCAAGAUCAUCUUGUGUGACACACAAAAUUAUUAUUCUAAUUUAAUUAGAAGAAGGGUUCGAAUUUUAACUUGUGCAAAUUACCAAAUUAUUUCACGGUUGACAUGGAUCUGAACUUCUGGUCCUUUGAGCCGCACAAGUGUUCGGCCUCUACGUGUAUCCACACAAGGCUGCUCCGGGAUCUGUGCUUUAUACAAUCACAGUGUAAUCUCGAAACACCUUUCGUGAUCUCUUGUGUCAAUGUGGAGAAAAAUUAAUCCUCAAAUUGUGCUAGUAAUUUGAAGAGGAUUAACUAUAGAGACUAAUUAAUAUUAGAGGACCACUCUCUUAUGAUUAAAAGAGAGCUCUAUAUAAUUAAAAAGCUUUCUCUCUUUGUUUUGUAUUCUACUUCUCACCUAUAUUGUAAUAAAUCUCAUCAUCAAGAUAAGCCAUUAUUUAUAGGUGAGGCAACAUAUGAGUGGAGAGAAUGUCACGCCCCGGGACCGGCGGAGGCCCUCCCGGUAGCGUGCUCAGACCCGCCAUAUGUCUACACAUAUAAGGCGUCUACAAUAACAGCGGAAAUAAGGCAAGAGAUAUAAUAAAAGGAAAGGAAUACAACUAAUGAUAUCAGAGCAGUAUGAUUCUACCAACUAUAAAGAGAGUACAAAGAUCACAAAUAAACCAAAACAGUAAAAAUAAGACAUAAAGUAGUACAAUAUCUGUCUCUAGUACAAAAAUGGUGGUCUCUUUACAUAUGCGGGUACAACUCUCGACCUCUCACAAAAUAAAACAACGAGAGGUAGACCACCUAUCGAAUCGUCCUCAAAGGAAGCUAGCUCGAAGCAACUCCCUUCCUGCGGUCCCUAGCCUCUCCCGGCGUGGAAGGCUCUGAAAACAUCAAGAAAACGAGGGCGUGAGAACUAUAAUUUAUAGUUCCCAGUGGGCAAUUACUGACCUCAGCUCUAUGCACCACUAGGCCCCGAAAGAAAAGGGUAAGUACCAUAAGCAAUAAUAGAUCAUCAAUCCUCGGUAAUGGAUAAUUAUUCUUAAUCGUGACUUUAUUAAGUUUACGAUAGUCCACGCAUAAGCGAAGUGAUCCAUCAUUCUUCUUCACAAAUAGGACCGGUGCUCCCCAAGGUGACACACUCGGUCGCACAAAACCCUUGUCCAGAAGAUCCUGUAACUGUGCCUUCAACUCCUUCAAUUCUGCUGGUGCCAUCCUAUAGGGUGCCUUUAAGAUCGGGGUAGUCCCGGGAACGAGAUCUACCACAAACUCAAUCUCUCUAUCAGGUGGCAUGCCUGGAAGCUCCGCUGGGAACACAUCUCCAAACUCCCGCACUACGGAAAUAUCCUCAAUCCUAGGGGCAUCAUCAUCACCCCUCAACACAACAGUAGCCAAAUAGGCCACACAGCCUCUACUAAUCAACUGCCUAGCUCGAGAGGAGCUAAUCGUCAUCGCAAAAAGCGAACUCUGGCAUCCUCGGUACAAAACCUCCGCCUGCCCCGGCUCUCUAAACGUCACCGUUCGAUUCUUGCAAUCAAUGGUAGCAAAGUACUUGGUCAACCAAUCCAUGCCCAACACAACAUCAAACUCCCGAGUUUAUGCAAAGCUAGCAAGUCCACGGGCAUGAUCCAAUCUCUAACCCGAACAGGACAACUGGGGCAAAACUCCCGAAUGUCCAAAAAAUGAUCGGGUACAACAACUCGUCUCGGAUGCAAAAAGGGUACAAGUGGGAUGCCAUACAACUCGGCAAACAGCCGGUCUAUGAAUGAAUGCGAUGCACCGGUAUCAAACAAAGCUCUAACUCGAAUAUCAUAAAGUAAAAUGAUACCUGCGACCACAUUCUCGGCUGCCGCCGCCUCCUCAGUCUGGGCCGCGUACAUGCGCCCGCUCGGGGCCUGUCGUGACCCCUCCGCCUGUCGCAGAACUGGCGGCCGUCCUGCCUGGUGAUGCGCAGAAGAUGUCCCCUGGCUGGGACCUGGCGAUGCUGGUGCAGAUGCCGCAGAUGGCGCUGGCAAUGGACUCCUCGGGCAGUCCGACUGGAAGUGGCCCUCCUGGCCACACAAGAAGCACCUGCCCCGGCUGCGUGAACACUGCCGCGGGUAAUGAGGACCGCCACAGAUCACGCAGCGGGGGGCCUGGCGACGAUCGGGUCCUCCUCGCUGGGUAGACUGGCCGCGUCCUCGCGACUGGCUCCUGCUCCUGGGAUGCCUCGGCGGCCUCCGUGAGUGCGUCUGACUCGCACCCUCAGCCGCGGGCCUCUUGCCCUUCCCUUUCUCCAAGCUCUCGCGACGCUCCUGCAGAUCCGCCGCUCCUGCCUCCACUAUCAAAGCUCGAUCCACAACCUCCCGGUAGGUCUGGAGGUUGGAAGACUGCACCAACCGGAAGAUAGAAGGCCGCAAACCGCGCUCAAAGAUGCGGGCCUUGUCCUCGUCGUCCCUCACAACAAACGGUACACAGUGUAGUAUCCGGGAGAACUCCCUCUCGUACUCAGCCACUGACCGCUCAUCCUGGCGCAAGCUGCGCAAAUCCUGCUCCAUCUUCCUCUUGACGCUGGUAGGAAAGUGGUGCGCCAGAAGAAGCUCCUUGAACCUAGUCCAAGUAAUCGCUGCCAAGUCGGUGUUGGGGUUGUCCUGGAUAUCCAACCACCAACGGUAGGCCUCGCCGUCCAGAAAGUGAGUGGCGAGCCAAACUCUAUCCCGCUCCUCCACAAAGGUGUCUCGAAACAGCUUCUCCAUGUGCAGUAACCACUUCUCAACAAUCCAGUGGUCGACGUUCUCGCCAUCAAACGUCCUCGGGCUGCACCUCCUGAACUCGCUGAGGCGCUCCAUAAGCCGAUCCCGCUCGGCUCCCUCAGCCAUCACGGGGAAAGCUGCUCCUGUCGCCGGUCUCUGAACAGGUAGUGCCGCAGCCACCUCCUCCCGAGGUGCGGUCGCCGGUGCCGCACGUGAAGAACUGGGCGCGGGGGACUGCGCCCUCGGUGCGACGUCCACCACGGGUGCUGGCGGUGUGGGACCCUGGGUCUCCCUCGAAGCUGCCGCCUGCUGAAGUAGGAGGUUCUCAAGAUGCUUCAUCCGCGCCUCUUGCCGCUGAGCCACCUCAGCCUAUCGCUGCGCCGCUGCCGUCUGCUGCGCCAACAAAUCAGUGAGGACCGCAAGCUGGGUCCUCAAGUCACGGACCUCACUAGAUCCGGAAGUAGCGGAGGUCUCGACCUCCUCGGGGUGUGCCGCAUCAUCCGUCCCGGCAGACUGGGAGUGUGUAAUCGGCAUCGUCACUACAAAAUAUAAAAGCGUAAGUUAGUAACCCACGCUAUUGCAUCCCCGCUCAAAUAGAUAAAACCCAAAUCAUGCGAAAGUAGGAGAGUAUCCUUCACUACUAACUCCCGAUGUUACGUUGUCGGCCGCCAACGUAACCCUCUGCGGAGUUAGAAGCCAUAUACUCCGGUCAAACUCUAACUUUUUAGAGUUGUCAUAAAACCCAAUCAUAAUACUAUCGCUCACAAGUCAAUUAGACCUCGUCUCUCACGAGCCUAAUUCUCAUUGUCCAACCGGCCUAAGGUUUGCUAGGUCCACUAAGACUCAACCCUAGGCUCUGAUACCAAAUUAAUCUGUCACGCCCCGGACCGGCGGAGGCCCUCCCGGUAGCGUGCCCAGACUCGCCAUAUGUCUACACAUAUAAGGCGUCUACAAUAACAAUGGAAAUAAGGCAAGAGAUAUAAUAAAAGGAAAGGAAUACAACUGAUGAUAUUAGAGCAGUAUGAUUCUACCAACUAUAAAGAGAGUACAAAGAUCACAACUAAACCAAACAGUAAAAGUAAGACAUAAAGUAGUACAAUAUCUGUCUCUAGUACAAAAAUGGUGGUCUCUAUACAUAUGCGGGUACAACUCUCGACCUCUCACAAAAUAAAACAACGAGAGGUAGACCACCUAUCGAAUCGUCCUCGAAGGAAGCUAGCUCGAAGCAACUCCCUUCCCGCGGUCCCUAGCCUCUCCCGGCGUGGAAGGCUCUGAAAACAUCAAGAAAACGAGGGCGUGAGAACUAUAAUUUAUAGUUCCCAGUGGGCAAUUACUGACCUCAGCUUUAUGCACCACUAGGCCCCGAAAGAAAAGGGUAAGUACCAUAAGCAAUAAUAAUAAAGAUAACUGCAAUAAGAAAGCAUAAUGGAAUGCUAAGCUACUAUAUCUUAAGUAAACAUGAUGUAAGUAUGAUGUACAUCUACUCUAUCAUAAGCAAGUACGUCCAAUGGCAACAAGUAAGUGCUAUGGUCCAAAAUGUCAUACAUAAAGAAUGAGCUCUAUCAAGCAACCCAGUAUACUAUGAUGUAAUGAAUGAAACAGGCAAGUAUACUAUAUAUCCCAAUGCUAUGUCAUGAGCAUGUCAAGCAAUCCAACUACUAAGCCUAUCCAGUAGUGAUUAUUCAUUCUCAACACUGUGUCGAUUUCCGUUUCCAAUUAAGGACCUACCAAAAGUAGUCCAGCUUGUGCCGCCUAAGUGCCUGUGGUAGCCCAACAUCCCUACUUUUGGAAUGUGUCUGUCCCAAUCGACCCCGUAGGCUUCUCAAUACCGCGCGAGCGAACAUAGGUCGCAUAGACUAACUCCGGAGUGCCGGCUUGUAGGGAGCGACCCUCACAAGCAUGUGCGAAUGAGCACAAAUGACAAACAAGCGUAGUCAAAGCUCAAGUAUCCAAUCCUCAUGUCUCUAACAUGGCAAAAGCUACUAGUAACCCAACGGUCUAGGUCUAUAUCACAAUUGAUAACUCAACACUCACUUGCUUAGUGCCUCUUUAUGACACUUAAGCAUCACCACUAAUCAAGUUCAAUUCAUGUUCUAUAUUCCAAUUAGGACAUUAAUACCAAUGUUCACUAUAGCCCGGGGCCCAAUGCCUCUUUAUGACAUUGACCCAAAAUCCCAAAUAGUCUAAGUCCCCAAGCCUCUCUAGGCUUCCAAAGUCCCUAAUGUCACAAUUAGGCAUAAAGGUUAAAUGCAUAAAAGCAAUGUUCAUUUUCAUAAUAGGAAUCAUGGUUCCAAGUCUCAACUAGAACGCUAUAUCCCACAUGCAUGCACUCUACCACAUAGGGGUCCAAAGAAUUUACUAUACAUAACAUAUGUAUGUCAAGCAUUCUAAAAUUCAUAAUAAAUGUAUCUAGCAUGGAAAUACAUGAAUAAUCAUUUAACGAAGCAUAAACCAGAAGUUAUGAGAAUUUCUAAUAAUAUAGGCUAGGUCAAACCCACCAAAAUCGAAACCUUCGUUUCGCUGAACGAAGGUAUCCACUAGCUUCCUAGCACCCUAGAAGCAUCAAAAACGGGGUUACCCAAACGAAACGAAGAGCAAAAAGCUCAAUCAUUAAGCAUCAAGCAAAAAGGGUCCAACUCACCUUAAGAGUAAAAACCCUCUCCUAAGCUCCAGAAGAGAGCUAGAAUCCUUCCAAUCUAGCCCAAAGGAGGGUUCUAAUCCAACUAAUCGAGCUCCGAAAGCCCUAAAACAAAAAUGCCCAAAAUAAACCCUAAAACCUCACUCUAGGGUUUCAUCUCAAAGAACCUCCAAAAUUCAAAUCUAGAGGAAAAGAUCUUGUCACUUACCUCUUAGAAGCUUCAAUCCAAGCUCUAAAUCCUCAAACUCCAAGGAUCUUCCCUCAACAAAUCUCCAAGACCAAGUUCCAAGCUUCAUCCAUGGAGGGAAAAUGCACCAAGAGGGAAAAAGCGAGAUUAAACCUUUAAUCCCAAGCCAAAAAGGAGAUCCAAUCCAAGUGAAGCAAGGUGGAGCUCCCCUUACCUUCUCCUCCUCAGGUUCCAGCACAAGGGAGGCCCUAAGGGGCGUGGGUGCUGUUAUAAGGGUGCCACAAUCGCGAAAAACCCCCUGCAGUUCAAACUGCACGAAAUCAGCCUCCUUAUACCAGUACACGGGCCCUUGUACCGGUACAAGCCCUGCGAAAAGUCUCAACCCGAGGCUCGGGUUGGGGGGGGUUCAGCGGCUCUGUACCGGUACAAGCCCGGUGGCUGUACCGGUACAACCAUCAACCUUGUACCGGUACAACAUCAGCCUUGUACCGGUACAAGCCCUGCUGAAGGCUACCCGAGAGCUGACCAAAAAUUCGAUUUUUCGGGUUUUGGUUCCAAGCAUUAGACCUCAAUUCUCGGGAUGCGUGCCAUAGGUCGGGUCACAGUCAACGACUCACCAGAAAAUCUGGGAAAGCUCAGAGCACAGCCAAUCACUCGAACCUCGCAAUUUGCAAAGAUCCAGUGUGUUACAGAGAAGCGGAAGAGGUGGGGAGACAUUCUCUGCGCAAUUAGUAAUGCGUUUCUCCCUCUGCAAAAGAUAAGAUUGUGGAGAGAAGUCCCAUAAAUGAGAGGAGUUAACUCCUCUCAUUUAGUGCAUGGAGAUGCGAAGAGAAUGAAGAGAAAAAGAAGUUUUCUCUUCUACAUCAUAAAUGCUAGAGUUUCUCUUCUCAUCUUUUCUUCCACUUUCACUUCGUAACUCCUCAAAUUAAUCUUUAUUAAUUGAGGAGUUGAUGAGAGAAUAAUUUAAGUGCAAGUGCACCAUAUGCAACAAUUGCGUUUAACUCUACAACUUUCAAUUUUACAAAUUGGUCCUUCUUGCUAAUCAAUUUAGCAAGUAAAUUCUGACUUUGCUACUUUAGCAAAAUAGUCUCUGUUAAUUCUCCAAGCACUAGAUCACACGCAGCCUUUAUUGUGUGUGACCACAUAGGUUCAAUUCUACCUGGUAGUGAGAUGUGACACUAAACUCUUUUAAUGUCACCAUCGGAACUCUUCUCAAUGGACCAAAAUAUUUUUGGCUCUCCCAACUGAGUGUAAUUAACUAUUUUAAUUACUCUCAUGAGUCCCACAAUCCACGAGUGACACCUAGCAGUAUAUCGCGGCAAUCCAAGUAGAAUUAAUAAUAGACAAAACCUCUAGGUGUAGUUACCGUGUGAUAAAAUCCUUCUACCAUUUGUCCCGAUAGAGCCGAGGUUAUGGAUUACUCGUCAAACCCCAUUACUCAAUCAUAUGUCUAAUCUGAUUAACAACUAAUAUGGAAACUCCUUUCCAUAAAAUCAUACUGCCUUGGCCAAAGACUUGUAAAACAGAUAGCAUAGGACAAUUACCUCUCUAUCGAGGGUGAUAGAUUCCAUCUUGACACAUACCUACCUCCAUGUAUGACACACUGGAGCCAACAUGUGUUGACUUAACCCAUGAUUAGGGUAUAAGUAUUUACACAGUCAAACUACAAUAACCCACACGCAAGAUAACCGUGGUGCCUCAGGUCAAAGGAUCACUCACACUACUACAGUAUGGAACAAUUCACUGACAAGUGAGUAGGCAUCCAUGUGAUUGUUUAUACUUUGUCACGCUCAGUGAAAUUGUUCUCCAACAUUCACCUGUAUGCUUACUCUAGUGUCACCACACUAAUGACUUGAGACUCGUCAUCCCAUAAGGAAGUAUAGCAUACAUUGAUCUAUCCGGAUUUACUACCGCCCUCGUAAUAAUCCUAUGAUCAGGAGCAUUUAAGAAUUAAUUAUAGAAGAAUAUAUGUCUCAAAUUUCUAACUUCUUAGAAAGUUAAUUCUUCUACUAUUAAUUCUAUGGACGAUUCAUAAAUAUGCAUUUGGCAAUAAUAUGAAUGAAGAAUGCCAGAUUUAAUCAUAAAAAAAAAGUACACUGAUAUUAACCCUUUAAGUUAUGACAGGAUUGGCUUAUAGGGCAUAUAACUAACAGACCCGUAGGAUAACUUAAGGCUUAUUGGCAUGUGAGAGCGCGGAGUUGUUGGGAUUAAGUACCAGUGUUUGAGUCGAGAUUUAAUAAUCUCGAGGUAUAUGGUUAUGUUAUUCCCCUGUGUUUUGUGCUAUGGGAGUUUGAUUACUUCUCUACUUUGUGUAUGUAUUACGAUUAAAGUUGUCCAAAAUAUCCGGUAUACCAUACCCGACCCGGACCCUAUCCGAACCCUAUCCGGACCCGAACCGGACCCGAUAAAAAAUGGAUAGUGUACGGGUAAAAAAAAAUACCCAUUAAAAUUUCGGGUAUGGGUCCGGAUAUUUUAUACCCAUACCCGAUUUGGACCCGACCCGAACCCAACUUUUAAAUGGGUAGGGUCCGGAAUAGUUUUUAUAUCCGAACCCGGACCCGGAUCCGGACCUGAUGAAAUAUCUGGUAGUAAAUAAAAAAAUUUUGAACUUUUAAAGUUAAGGGAUCAAUUUUAAUAGGACUUAUAGACGAGGGAUCUCUAAGUAUUUUUAAGUAUUUUCAUCCUAGGGAAACACUGAAACCCUAGCCGCUCUUUUACUACUUUUUUUUUUUCUAAUUUUUUUACUCUUUGUUUUUAACUUUUUAUUUUUUUUGUUUCAUUUCCGCCUAAGAGUUUUUUAUGAAACAAUAUUUCCAUCAUCGUCAUCAUUAGCGAUAUUAAUUCUUUACAGGUGUGGUACAAGUGAGUUUUUUUUUUCAAAUUCCUUCUCCAAUUAUAGUCGACAAUCUAGUUUUUUUUAAUGAAUAUUCUAUUUAGCAAAUUUUCUGAUUCAUCUUUUUUUUUUCCCCUUUUUUUUUGAAUGUUAGUAUAUAAUAUUAGUAAUUACUACAACUUAUAUUCUCUUUAUCUGUAAUAUGGUAUCAUAAUUUUUUUUAUUUUUGUAUAUUUAUAUAUAAAAUUAUUUUGAAUUUUAGACUUUUAAUUAGUAAAUACAAUGGCCGAAACAAAUUUUGCCCAAACAAUUUAAUAGAGUCUAUAAAAAAUAAAUAUACAGGUAUCCGUACUUGACCCGUAUCCAGUUUUGAACGGGUAAUAUACGGAUAGUCACUAUCCAGGCCUGCUCAAAUAGACCCGAUGGGUAUAUUAGUAACUUAAGUACCCAGAUCCGGACCCGACCCGAAGUUAAAUGGGUAGGGUAUUUUUUUUUUUCUAACCAUUUCUUUUUAGGGUACGGGUACAGUAUAUCAACUACCCAGACCCGACCCGGUCCACGGACACCUUUAAUUACGAUGUGGGCACAGACUUGUGCUUCUACUGGAAGUGGUGGCGGUUUACCAGAUAGUUAUCAAGUGGCAGGGUGAGAUUACCCGAGCAUGGCCAUUUGUUGGCAGGUGGUGGCCUUAAUAGGCCAGGUGACGGCACUUUUUGGAUCUAUGCAGUCGAUUCGACUGCUAUUGGCUAGGCCCCACUUCUUAUGUAGAGUUCGAGAGCUAAUGCAAGCGUCUCUAUGGAGACAUCACCUAGAGCGGCUACGAUCGCGACUACUGUGGGGGCUGCUAGAGUGUAACCCAAGAUUUUGGUAGCAACCAUUUGGGCGACUGUAACUUUAGUGUUGCUUUCUCAGAUUUUAUGGGCAUGGUUGUGAUGCCUACCCCUCUUUUUUUUUGCUGAUGGAAUCGUCGAUGCAAGUCUUUCGACCCUCAGCUAGUUCCUAUGUCAACUAAUGUGAACUUGAACUGAGUGGACACAGUUUUGGUGUCCGGUCUUUGUUGUUGCAUACAUCGUAUACGGAUAUCCUAACAUCUAAAUUGAUGUGUUAUGGGAUCUUGGUAGGCUUUCAUCUUGUCGCGAGAUACUCCAGGGUGUUGUUGAAGGUCUCGGAGCUUUGGGUAUUAGUUGGGUGUUUUUCAAAAAUCAGGUAAAGAAAUUGUUUACUUAGGCUUUAGUUUGUGCAGUUCGCGGCCUAAUGUCGCAAGCAACUAUUGGAUGUGGAGAGCUAAAGAACUCCUAGUGAGUUUGCUCAAGGUUGAUCUUGUUUCGAAAGUCGACUUGCAAAGUUGAUGUUUCGAUAGUUUUGGUGGUGAACUUUUGGUUCAGUUAAGAAGUACCAAUUGGCUUGAUAUUUGGUUGCUACUUCUCCAACUUGUUGUUGGCGAUGGAUCUGCGAGUAAUUCGCCUUUCUUUUGACAAGUACGUUGGCUGUAGACAACGUAGUGUCAAAAGUCGGGACGAAGUACCCUAUCCCUCUUGGGAGUAUCAGGAUUGGGUAAAUGUAUUUCUUUUUCUGCGAGACAAUCUCUAUAGGUCGUCUUGUAGAAAGGCUUGAGUCAUGGUCAUCUUCAACCGGUGGUAAGACUUGGUAAUUCCUAUGCAGUACUUGUGUGAAUGAUCUUUGAGCACUGCACAUGGUUGUUGUUAUGUUGUGGGCUUGGUCACCUACUAGCUCUGUAGUGGUGCCUUGCACAACAUAAGGGUUUGUUUUGCAUGGUAAUCUUUGUCAUUUUGCCGAGAGGUUUCGAAUCACAGUUGAUGAGUGGCUUGUGUUUGGUAGUUGGCUCUGAAAUCGCUGUAUGUGAUAGAGUACAAGAUUUACGAUUGAACUUAUCAUGCAACCAUGGAGUGGAAUGCUUGUUCGGUCACUUAGUAACAGGUUUGCCUAGGUCUCACUAUGACUGGUGUUUGGUGUUGCUGGAAACAUCGAUCACUGGGGUUCCUUUAGGGACAGUAGCGACAGGGUCUCGUGGAGACAGGUGUUGAGCAUCACUAGUGGUUAUGAUCGCAUAUUGCGAUUAGAAACCCUGUUCACCAAGUGAUGGACUUGCAAGGGGUUUAGGUUAGAUUGAUUGAGAUAUUGAGCGGACGAAAUCGUCGAGCUCAAUUGGUAGUGGCAGCCUUGGAACUUUUGGCCCAGGUGGAAGGUGAGAGACCUAGGGGUGUCGAAUGCCAUAGGUGGGUUUCCGAUGCUAAGAGUUUGACUUCGGCUGUUGUAUUUUUGACUGGUAGGAGACUGUGGCCUCCGAGUUGAGUGAUGUUAACGCAAGUUUAAGGCAACGAUGCGGAUUCACUCGUGGUGAGCUGGUUGACGUAAUUGGCUAGUCGGAGUGUGUCGUUCCGGCCUAUGGAAACAUACUCCAGACUUGUAGUGUUGUUCCGGGACUUUACUGCAUGAACUUUCGACUUUUUGGUUGAUCACUGGUACGCGGACCAAGGUUGGGUUGACCUAGAGUUUCUGGUUGGUGAAUUUUUAUCUUAGAUUUGGUAGAUGUGGGAUCGGAUAGCCCAGGUCGCGGUACUAUUUUCAUCUACAGGAUAGUGGAUGGUGGGAUCCCGGUAGGUUUUGGUCCAUAUAUAGUUUUUGGGUUGGUACUUUUUCUCUCCUCUCGUCUGGGUGGAACUGCUUUUUCAUCAUCCCUUACUUCGGACUUUAAUCACUCUAGGUUCAUAAGCAAGGUGAUUGAUCAAUACUCAAAGGUGAAACUUCAACAGUGGACUGAUAUCCGAAUUUGAUUACGGUAGGUGCGUAGUCAAGUUUCGGGAACGAAACUUUUAUAAGGAUGGGAUGAUGUGAGGGCUGAAAUUUUCAUGAUGUAAAUUGAUGCAUUUCAGUGGUGUUUUAUAGGUAUUUUAAUUUUAAAAUUAUCUAUUUAUUUUCGGGAGAAAACAAUCUUUUAUUAAAGGAGUAUGGCGACUGUUACUAUUCAUUUAAGUGAAUAGUAACCUGUGUUUUCUUUUGAGGCAUCGUGUUGGGGAUGGCUUCGGGCAUGAAUUAGACUCUGUUUUCGACGAUCCAAUAGGUUGUUUUCGAUGGUCUGACUAUGCCGAAGAUGAUGGCACUGCCUGAUUUAAUGUUUGAUGCACGAAUUUUGAGAAAAUCAGAGUUUAUUGUAGAUUGGCCUUUGAUUACUUAAUGUUCUUGCUUUUUAGAAGUGUCCGAUGUUUCGUUUCGCAUGCAAUUCCAUGAUUCGAUGCCACUGGGCAUAUUACACUCACUGGUGAAUUUUCGAAACAAAAUUCAAUGAUUGGGGGUGGUAAAUUGCUAUUUUUUUUGCAAAGCGUCAAAAUUGAGCACUUUGCGAAGAGGUUAUCAUUUCAUGUGAAAAAUUUUAAAUUUUGGUAAGUGGAAGGUUCCACAUGAAAGUAGACCUAGAGAAGAGUUUUUGUCUCAAUUUUUGCAAAAUUUGAGUUUAUCUGUGCGAAAUGGCAUUAAGAUGAAGUCGUAGGAGAGUUUUGUGAUCGUGAAACUUUUCGGAUUGGAACGCGGCAUCUCGGGUAUCUUUGUGCACAAGAUGGUUUGGAAAAGGACUUAACGAAAUAUUUUUUAUGCUGUUGAGGGCUGGGUGCACAAUUCUAAGGUGUUAGGAGGGCUUUUGUGCAAAAUUUCUUUUCUUUCUUUUGGUAUGUAUGUAUUUGUGUAUAUUACAUAUAUAUAUAUAUAUAUAUACACAAGUAUUGUGGGGGGGAGGGGAUGAAACCCCAACGUUAGCUUCUCCUAGCUGCCGCCCCACCUCUCACGGUUGCUGCUGGUAAGCCGCCCACCGUCGGUGUCCUUUUCGACCAGCAGAGGAGGUUUUCUCCCUCUCCCUUCUAUUGGUGAGCCUGAGCAUGAGGGAGACCCAAGCUCCCACUCUUCGGCCUCCCUUCAUGACCUUCGAGCUCAGGCAACUUCCCUUGGCGCUUUCCUGCCCCGCCGGAGCCGCCACUGCUGUGGUUUUCUCCUUCCAGGCAAUUAGGCAGAAGGUGGCCCAACCUCUCCAAGCCGCAGCCACAGCCACCGUCCACCCUCGGCACCGCCUCCUCCGACCUAUGGUGACUCGCUAUCGUCGCCUCAUGGCUUUCCCGGUUGUUGCCGCCGUCGCUGAGCUACCCGAGCCCGAGCCCUAGUCGUGCGGUCUAUGCCUUCCUGAGGCGCCGCCGCCGCUUACCGCCAUCGGUCGAUGGGAGCACUAAACUCCCCUUCCCCUCCACGGCCGACCCUGGCCCACGUGUAGGCCAGAAGGCCGCCGGCGGCCGGCCGGAAUCCCCCUGUGCCCCUGCUUGGCAGCCUAGGGCAUCAAAUUGCGCACCUCGCAUUCUUCGACGAUUCGACGCUCCCCGAACCCUUCGAAAGUGAGCAAAGUGAUCCUCGUCACUCGCUGAACGUGUUGUUGAUCUCGGUUUCUACCGACGACCCCCCGUCGCAGAGUUUUGGCUCCCUCACUUCCAGAGACCUUUGUGUAUUGAUCUUGGUGAAGCUCUACAGUGCUCCUCGACUGUCGUACGCGCUCCGGACAGCGAGCAUGAUUUCCGGCACAUCAAGAACUAUCAGCCUGUGCCCUCGCUUCGUCCCAGAGGUGCGUGGAUAUCGGUAUUGGCCCUAAACGUCACAUUAUUUUAUAUAAUGCUGCUUUUUAUUGGUCUUGAUGGGCAAUUUUGCAUUUAGGCUUUGUGGGCUGCCUCGGGCAGCGUGUGGUCACUAUUUGUGGCCCACUGGGUUUAUCAUCUAGUUUGUGAAGCAUCUGUGCGAUCAAAAAUGGGGUUUUGACGUAUUUUUUGGCAUAAUCGCUCGUAGAACGCUGUUUCGUGUCACGAUGGGUUUCCGGCUGCAUGGUUGCCCCAAAAAAAAAAUCAUCGCCUAGCCCCGUUGGUUGGCUGGGACCUCGCUAGUGUGAAGCACAGACCAGUUAUGCACCCUAGUGGGUUCUGAAGCCGAAAACGGCAAUUUUUGGGAACCCGGUACAGUUGAUUUGGAGGAUUUCGCACCCGGAUCGCACAACUUAGCGUGCGGCUGUCCCGACGCCCAAAAGUGAAUGUUUUGGGAUAGUGUGUGUCACACCCCGUGACCGCCAAUUCGGUUGAACCGACACGUACACAGAUGCCGAACGGACAGAGCCUCCCCUGUCUGCCCAAGAAUCCACAACCACAAAACAUGUAUAAAGAAUUGCCUAGAAAAAUUUCGAUAUACAUGGCUUGCACGAGGGCAAGCAACAAGAGCAAGUGAAAGUAAAGCUAACUAUUACAUUCAUACAUUGUAUCUUGAUUACAUUAAACAAAAUACAAGUCUUUCAUAAUCCAUUGCAUCUAUUUUCAUUUCAUACAUGCUUCAUUACAUAUGUUUCCAAAUACAUAACUUGUCCAUUACAUAUCCCUUUUCAUCAAGUACAAAAGAUGAAAUACAAAAUGGUACAACUAUACUCGAAGGAAGUCUACUACCUAGGGCGCGAUGCCCUUGCCGCGAUACUCGAUCGCCCCGCUCGCACUAGGAUCUGCAAGGUUAGUAGGAUGAGAACUACAAAAUAGUUCUGAGUGGGUUCGGCCGCGGAUCCCACCGACUAACCCACUAGGUCUAAUCAGGCAUAAGUAGGAAAAAGGAGUAGAUAAGCCAACAAAACUAAUGCAACUACUAUGCCUGGAUAAAACUGAAACAAUCAAUAUGAUGUUCUUGAUGCAUGCACUUCUCUUUUACCUUUACCUUUACCCAAUCCUUUUGGUUAACCUUUUGGUUAAACCAAACUCACCAAACCAAAUCCCUUUUGUCGGGGAGAAUUCCGCUACAACCCGACAGGACCGCCUGCUGGGAAGAAUUCCGCUACCACUCAGUUGAUGACAACUCUGGAGCUCACCGCUUGAGGUGGAGCGACCACCCUCAAGCAUAUCAGACUAUCUGUGAGUAUGAUCCAAUUCUCAACUUUGAGGAUACCAUGUCAAUAUUGUCGCAAUAUUCAUAAGGUUUUCUUUGUCUAGCAAUCCAUGUUUCUAGGUGCUAAUCAAUCCAUCUAGUCACAAUGUCACCUUGUUUACUAUAUUGUCAUAGUCUACUACUUAGUUCAUACAUUCAUAAGGUUUCAAUAUAUCCAAGAUUCUAGUCACAAUUCAUAUACCACUUGAUACAAGCAUUUCCACAUGUUUCCUAUAACAUGACAUUAACCCUAUAAUGCAUGAAUGCUAUACAUAUACACAUAUGCUCAAAACAAGGUGACAUAGACAUAAUGCGAAAUUCGAUAAUUACGGAUAGCACCAUCUAUCACGUAGGGAUGUCGAGAUGCGAGAAUCCAAGUCCCGUGAUUAUUAGACGCCUAAAUCCCUCGACCCACGGCUAACGGAAGCAAAAUGAGGUUUUUCCUCAAUAUAAUGCUGUAGACUCGUCGGAACUUCAAUCCAAGUCUCCUAACGUAUCAAAUUAACCUUUAAUUAGGAAUACAAGAGAUCAAUUUCAUAAUAGAUCUCAAUUCCUACAAAAUCCUAUUUCCAACCCUAGGGUUUACACAUACUACCUAUACUUCAAAUUUUUUAGGAUUUUAUGGAGUAAUCCAAACUCUCAAUCCUAAGAACCUCAAAAACAAGCAAAUUAUGGUAUUUACAUUAAACCCGUAACAAAUAGGAGCAAGAGAACUUACCUAAGCCACCUUGCUCCCCAAAGCCCUUCUUGUUCUUGAGCCUCUUUACCACCAAGACCACCAAUUCCACCUUCGAUUCUCGUCCCAAGCCUCCUUGAUGGAGAGAUUCUAGAGAGAGAAGGAGAGGGAGAUGAGAAGAAGAAGGAGAAAAUGUAUUCUCUUGCAUGAGAAUAACAGGUGUAGGGUUGGAGUUAUUUAUAAACCCCAACAAUUGCAGCUAAGUCCCCCAACAAUUCUCACUUACAACCAUGAAAAAUUCAGUCCUGCGCAGGGCUGAGUACCAGUACUCAGGUUGGAGUACCGGUAUGCGGGCUCCCAGUAUCGGUACUCAGCUACGCAGUACCGGUACCCUCCAAGGCCGCAACCAAACCCGAGAGCUAGCAUUCGGGGUUUAAUACGGAGUACCGGUACGCAACACCCCAUACUGGUACACGACAAGUCCAAUACCGGUACUCACUACGUGGUACCGGUAUCCAACCAUGUGACCUUCCAAACCUGAGAGCUCACUUUUCGGGCAAUUAACUAGGUACCGGUACUCAACCUCCGGUAUCGGUAUGCAGCUUGCCAAGGUCCCGAACUCGAGAGUUGUUCAUUUUGCAUUUUUAUUAUUGGGUACCGGUACCCCAUCUCCUGGUACCGGUACUCAAUUCAGUUUCUGCAAUUCCAGCAGAUUCAAUGCCUUAGAGUCCAUUUUCGCGCUCGGUUUGCACCGAAAACACCCAAACACUCUCGAAGCCACUUCUAACCAUCCCAACGCCUUCAAGGCAACUCGGGGACUUCAGUUAUCACCUUCAUACCUUUGAUCAAAUUCGAUCAAAGUUAGCAUUACGAUUCGGUAUAUUACAGUGUGGACGACCAAAUUAAUUUCGGAGUGUUUUGGAGCAGUUGGGGGCUUAACGGAACACUGAAACGCAAAAAUCGAGCAAUUUAGGGGGCAAUUUUGUAUCACGCUGGUUGCUGCUGUUUGCAGCGUUGUGGCCUUAUUUGCUGGUAUUGGAGUGAGGUGUGACACUUUUGGUCGUAGCAAGAUGGCUGCGGGUGGUUCUUGUGCCGAAACGAGUAUUCCGAGAGCCAAGCCGGUGAUUUUCGGAAUCCCGGCUUUCCGUUUUGAUGCACUAUAUGUGCGACCGUCUCAAUGGCAUUAAAUUAAUGUAUUGGGACAGCGAAUAAAGUAGGCUUUGUCUAGGACUUGUUUUGGAAUACCCCAUCUCCUGGUACCGAUACUCAAUGAAAUUUCUGCAAUUCCAGCAGAUUCAAUGCUUUAGAGUCCUUUUCACGCCCGAUUUGCGCCAAAAACACUCAAACACUCUCAAAGCUCACUUCUAACCAUCCCAACGCCUUCAAGGCAACUUGGGGCCUUCACUUAUCACCCUCAUAUCUCACUUUGAUCAAUUCGAUCAAAGUUUGCAUUACGAUUCGGAGAUUCGGUAUAUUACAAUCUUUCUCUCUUAGAAAUAGUUUCGUCCGCGAAAUGUAAACUCAUACCUUAGCUCAUCUGAUCAAAUAGAUGAAGAUAGGAUUCACGCAUCACCUCCUCGAGUUCCCAAGUGGCUUCGCACUUGGCGUGGUUGCUUCAUUGCACUUUUACAUAUGGAAUUGUGCAAUUCCGCAAUUUGCUCGCCCUACGAGCCAAAAUGCACACCGGGUAUUCUUCAUAAAUCAUAUCCUCCUGUAACUUCACCGUUUCAUACUCAAGAACGUGUGAGGAGUUAUGCACGUACUUGCGGAGGAUAGAGAUAUAGAACACAUUGUGCACUCCCUCAAACUUCAGCGGUAGAGCCAAUCUAUAAGCCACCGCACCCACACGUUCCAAAAUCUCAUAGGGUCAAAUUUAUCGAGGACUAAACUUUCCCCGAACAUCGAAUCGCUUCACACCCCGCAUGGGUGACACCUUCAAGAAGACGCGGCCCCCCACCGCGAACUCAAGACUUCGCCGGCACACAUUAGCAUAACUUUGUUGUUGUGAUUGUGCCGUUAGAAGCUUUUGGCGGGCAAGGCGAACCUUCCCCUCCGCCUCCUGCAACACAUCCGGACCAAGGGAGACUCUUUCACCCACCUCGCUCUAAUGGAUAGGGGAUCAACACUUUCUUCCAUAGAGAGCUUCAAAUGGCGCCAUUGCUAUGCUUUCUUGGUAGCUAUUGUUGUAAGCAAAUUCGGCGAUCGACAAAUAAUCAUGCCAACCACCCUUAUAAUCAAGUACACAUGCUCGUAGCAUAUCCUCAAGAAUCUGAAUCGUCCUCUCCGACUGACCAUCACUUUGAGGAUGAAAAGCAGUGCUAAAGUUGAGCCGUGUGCCAAGAGCAUCUUGUAGACUUUUCCAAAAGUGAGAUAUGAACCGAGGGUCUCCAUUCGAAACAAUAGAUGUCGGAACUCCAUGCAACCUCACAAUCUCAUCCAAAUAUACUUGUGCUAAGUUGUCCCCUGACCAAGUGGUGUGGAUAGACAAGAAAUGUGCCAAUUUCGUCAAGCGAUCCACUACUACCCAGAUAGCAUCGUGACCAGCCUGUGAUCGAGGUAAUCCUACCACGAAGUCCAUAGCUACAUCCUCCUAUUUUCAAACGGGAAUAGAUAAACUUUGAAGCUUUCCCGUCGAAAAUCGGCGCUCCGCCUUGACUUGUUGACAUAUCAAACAUUGCGCCACUAAUUGUCUAAUGUCUCUUUUCAUCCUCGGCCACCAAUAAUGCACUUUUAGGUCUUUGUACAUCGUAGUGCUGCCCAGAUGCACACUGUAGGGGGACUUAUGAGCUUCUUGCAGGAUAACCUUUCGGACAUAUACGUCACUAGGCACACACUAACGGUUUCGAAACUGAAGUGUGCUGUCGGAUCCCACACUAAAGUCACCGACGUGCCCACUCUUAAUGUCUCGCCGCACCUUUUGGAGAUACGGAUCCAAAGAUUGUCGAUCUUUAAUUUUCUACAACAAGGUCGGUUGAACAGCGAGAGCGGCAAGUAUAACCGGGACCUCCGGAGCUACAACUUCAAGAUCAAACCGCCAUAUUUCCUUCCACAAUGACGGUUGAUGUGUAAUGGCCAUAGCAAGAUUUUCCACCAACUUCCUACUAAGUGCAUCCGCUACUACAUUGGCCUUCCCCGGGUGGUAUAGAAUAGUGACAUCAUAGUCCUUCAAUAAUUUCAACCACCGACGCUGCCGCAUAUUCAACUCUUUUUGGGUGAACAAAUACUUGAGGCUUUUAUGAUCGGUAUACACCUCAUAGCGCUUGCUAUACAAAUAGUGCCUCCAUAGCUUCAACGCAAAGAUCACCGCAGCAAGUUCCAGGUCAUAAAUAGGGUAGUUCUUCUCGUAGCUCUUCAAUUGGCGGAAAGCAUAAGCGAUAACUCGACUACACUGCAUUAGAACACACCCAAGACCUUGAUAGGAAGCAUCACUAUACACAACAUAACUCUCCCCAGAAACUGGUAGGGCGAGUAUAGGAGUUGAAGUCAAUCUUUCUUUGAGCUCCCGAAAGCUUCGGUUACAUUCAUCACUCCACACAUACUUCAUCCCCUUAUGCGUCAGGCACGUUAGCGGAGUAGUAAUUUUAGCAAACCCCUCCACGAACCCCCGGUAGUAACCCGCAAGCCAAGAAAACUGCGGAUCUCUGCAACACUUGUCGAACAAGGCCAAUCUUUAAUCGCCUCAACUUUUCUCGGGUCGAUUGCUACACCACCCUCGGAUAUCACUUGGCCUAAGAAGGCGACCUCCCGAAGCCAAAAGUCGCACUUCUUCAAUUUUGCAUAGAGCUUAUUUUCUCGAAGAGUCUGCAACACAGUUUUCAAAUGCUCCUCGUGCUCCUCAUCACUUCGAGAAAAGAUGAAUAUGUCAUCAAUGAAUACCACGACAUAUCGAUCCAACAAUGGUUUGAAAACAUGGUUCAUUAAAUCCAUAAAUGCUGCAGGGGCAUUAGUAAGCCCAAACGGUAUAACCGUGAAUUCAUAGUGUCCAUAACGCGUUCGAAAUACUGUUUUGUGCACAUCCUCUGGCUUGAUCUUCAAUUGGUGGUAUCCCGACUGGAGAUAGAUCUUUGAAUAUACCCGAGACCUUUGCAACUAAUCGAACAAAUCAUCAAUUCGAGGCAACGGGUAUUUAUUCUUGAUUGUCACCUUAUUCAACUCGCGAUAAUCCACGCACAGCCGGAGUAUUCCAUCCUUCUUCUUUACAAACAGCACCGAAGCUCCCCAAGGUGACACACUCAGCUUUACAUAGCCCUUGUCGAGGAGAUCUUGCAAUUGAGCUUUCAAUUCUUUUAAUUCAGCUGGUGCCAUUCUAUAUGGAGCCUUCGAAAUUGGCACAGUCCCGGGAACCAAGUCAAUGACGAAUUUAAUUUUUCGGUCCGGUGGCAAUCCCGACAACUCUGCAGGAAAUACAUCUAGAAACUUUCGGACUAUAGGAAUAUCUCCAAGUACCAGAAUCUCUUUUCGAGUCUCCACCACCGUCGCCAAAUAAGCCACACAACCUCUAUUAAUUAGCUUCCUCGCUCGCGACGUUGACACGAUCAUAGCAAAAAGCGAACUCUUGCAACCAUGAUAAACAUACUCUUCUUGCCCGGGCUCAUGAAAAGUCACUAUCUUGCUCUCACAAUCAAUAGUAGCAUAAUAUUCGAGAGCCAAUCCAUCCCAAGAUCAAAUCAAAGCCUUUCAGCCGGUUCAACACAAGCAAAUCCGCUAGUAUAAUCUAAUCGCCUACUUGCACUGGACACGCCACACAUACGUCCUUGACACUAAACGUGUGCUCAGGAGCGUCUACCCACCAAAGAUCCUCGCUAACAGUACUUUCGAUACCAUGUGUACUAGCGAACAACUGACUGAUAAAUGAAUGUGAUGCACCUGUGUCAAACAAUGCUCUAGAUCUGAUUCCUUUAAUUAACACAAUACCUGCCACGUCAUCGUCGACCACGGCAGGCUCCUCCACCUGAGCAGCAAAGAUACGACCACUUGGCGCUGAUCGGAAUCCCUCGGACUGACGCGGCACCAUAGCUCGUCCAGCAGAUAUUGCGGGUGAAGGCCCCAUAAACUGUCUCAGAGCUGAUUGAACUGAUGCAGCUGACGGGGCAGGCGAUGCUCCACUCGAGCAUUCCCGACUCAGGUGUCCAGCCUGGCCACAUCUAUAACACCUCCCUUCAUACUGUGGGCUGCUCGUUGGUCGAUGAUCUCAUCUGCAAAUAACAUAUCGGAAGGGUCCCCGACUCGACUGCAAUCCUGGAUGUCGAGAGGGUCGUUCAAAACUCGACUAACCCCCGGUACCACUUGCAGCCCGCUUCUUGCCUUUAUCUUUGUCCUUCUCAAAUGAUUCGCGUUCAUCACGCGCAAUCGCAUUUCCUCGCUCCACCCAAAGAGCGCGAUCCAAAACUUCCUCAAAAGUCUUGAACUUAAAAGCAUGCACCACCUUGAAAAUAUCGGGCCGUAACCCUCGCUCAAAACAUUUCGCCCGAUCCUAAUCAUUGUGAACCAUGGUCGGGACACAAUUCACCAAAUGUGAGAACUCCCGUUCGUACUCCCGUACAGAACCACUACCUUGCCUCAACUUACGAAAGUCCUCUUUUAUCUUUCUUUUGUCACUAUUGGGGAAGUACUCCAUGAAUAGCAGCCCCCGAAACUCCUCCCAAGUGAUUGGAGGAAGAUCCGGAGAUCAGUUCUUCUUCACUCUCCUCCACCAAUCCUAGGCCAACUUCUCGAAACAAUGCACGAUCAAGUGGACCUUGUCCCUCUCCAAGGUAUAGAUGUCCUCGAAUAACGCCUCCAUCGAGGUAAGCUACGCCUCCAUCAUCCAAGGAUCUGCCACCUCUCCAUCAAAAGUAGGAAGGUUGAACCGCUUAAAAGCCGUCAGAGCUGCAAGCGAUCGCUCCUACUCGGCCUCUAUUGAAUUUGGAACUGAAGAACUAGAAGCCGUCGGGGAGUAGUCGCUGCAGUCGCCACAUUAGGAGCCGAUGACGAUGGCACAGGCGGAUCCCGACUCGCGGGUGCAGCUGCCGUCGCCACCUGCCGGUCACCAAGUUUUUAACCUCCCAAUCUGCUCAUCCUGUCGCUGUAUCGCUGCCGCAAGUGCAGCCACCUGAGCACGCAACUCACGAACCUCGUCAGACCCAGAUUUCUCGGGCACGUCAGAAGGCAAUGCCGGAGUGGAUCUCGUAGGGCGUUGAAUUGGUGCCAUCAUCUCCUGAAACGUAGCACCCAAGUUAGUACUCAACUCGAGUCAUCUACACACCGCAACAAUAUACCCAACAAAACCAAAUCAGGCGAAAGCAAUCAAGUAUACUUGUCCUCAUCUCUAGGCAUUAUGUUGUCGGCCGCCAACAUAACCCCCGAAGUUGAGAGCAAAUAACAACUUGGAUUAGUCCCUAUUUACCAUUAGAGUCAUACUACCAACUACCCAAUCCAUUUAGCUUUCGCUAUAAUUCAAUUCUGCGUCACUUAGGUUCCUAAGUCCUAAAGGUUUCCAAUCAUAAGGUCCCUAGGUCCAUACUAUACUUUCACUUUUCAUGCUCAGAUACCAUUCUAUCUGUCACGCCUCGCGACCGCUAAUUCGAUCGGACCGGCACGUACACAGACGCCGAACGGACAGAGCAUCCCCUGUCUGCCCACGAAUCCACAACCACAAAACAUGUAUAAAGAAUUGCCUAGAAAAAUUUCGAUAUACAUGGCUUGCACGAGGGCAAGCAACAAAAGCAAGUAAAAGUAAAGCUAACUAUUACAUCCAUACAUUGUAUCUUGAUUACAUUAAACAAAAUACAAGUCUUUCAUAAUCCAUUAUAUCUAUUUUCAUUUCAUACAUGCUUCAUUACAUAUGUUUCCAAAUACAUAACUUGUCCAUUACAUAUCCCUUUUCAUCAAGUACAAAAGAUGAAAUACAAAAAGGUACAACUAUACUCGAAGGUAGUCCACUACCUAUGGCGUGAUGCCCUUACCGCAAUAUUCGACCGCCCCGCUCGCACUAUGAUCUGCAAGGUUAGUAAGGUGAGAACUGCAAAUAGUUUCCAGUGGGUUCGGCCGCCGACCCCGCCGACUCACCCACUAGGUCUAAUCAGGCAUAAAUAGGAAAAAUGAGUAGAUAAGCAAACAAAACUAAUACGGCUACUAUGCUUGGAUAAAACUGAAACAAUCAAUAUGAUGUUCAUGAUGCAUGCACUUCUCUUUUACCUUUACCUUUACCCAAUCCUUUUGGUUAACCUUUUGGUUAAACCCAACUCACCAAACCAAAUCCCUUUUGUUGGGGAGAAUUCCGUUACAACUCGACGGGACCAUCUGCUGGAGAGAAUUCCGCUACCGCUCAGUUGAUGACAACUCCGGAGCUCACCGCUUGAGGUGGAGCGACCACCCUUAAGCAUAUCAGACUAUCUAUGAGUAUGAUCCAAUCAUCAACUUCGAGGAUACCAUGUCUGUCACACCACAGGACCGAUACCAAUUUGGGCCGGCCUGAGCACGUCAAACAGACGCCGAACGGACAGAGUUUUCCCUGUCCGCCCAAGGCUCCUCACAUGUACAUCUUCAAACAAGAAGUGCACUAGUGGAAACAUACAAAUACGGCUUACACGAGGGUAAGCAAUAGCCACGAGUGAAAAAAAAGAAACUAAACAUUCACUUGUACUAUGAUUCAUUUUAGAUCAUAUACAUUAAGGCCAACUUGUACAAUUUCAAUUCCUUACAUUCAUUACAUCGUUUCGUCAUUUCUUUCUUACAUCACAUUUACCUCAAAAGAGAGCUUUACAUUCUUUCUUUACAUCACUAAUCAUCAAGUACAAAAGAUGAUAAAAGGGUAUGUUACUACAAAAUGUAAACCCAACUCUGGUGGCCACUGUCUAAGGCGCGAUACCUUUACCUCGAUCGCUCGCCGGCUCGCUCGGUCCCGGCUCUGUGGAAUAGUGGGGUGAGAACUACAACAAAGUUUCCAGUGGGUUCGGCCUCAAUCUCACCGACUUUCCCACUAGGACUAACUCAGCCAUAAUAGAAAGGAAAAGCUGUAAAUAGUAACCAAUCUAUAACAUGAUACUAAUAUGCCUGAACAAUAAGCAGGAAGUAUACUCAACAUUAACAUAUGCAGAUUCUGCAAGUUUUUUUGUUCUUUACACUUUACACUUUGUCUUUAUUCUUUGCUCUUUGCUCUUUGUUCUUUAAUCUUAAGGCUAACCCGGAGGUUUCGCCACAUUAACUUGCUUCACAUUAAGUCCAUCAUCGCGGGCCCUCAGCUUCCUCCCGCUAAGACCGUCCUUCAGGUUUACUCCAAUCCGUGAUGCAAAAACUCCGAAGCGCAUCGCCCGAGGGGGAGCGACCGCCCUCGAGCACGGAACUCAUAGCAAGUAUAAUCGAAUCCUUAACUCAAAGGAUUGUAUGUUCAAUCUUGACUUUAUACUAACUCUAGUGUUGUUUACAUCACUUUAUGUUGCUACUCUAGCAAUCAUGGUUCUUUACCUUUCUUUACUUUUGCUAACUUUAGCAUUUUUGUUCUUUACACCCACUUUGUUCUCACUUUAGUCAUUAUCAUUAUUCUUUACAUCACAUUGACUCUUUGCCUCACACUACCUCUAGUGUCACUUUACUUUACAUUAUCAAAUGCCACUCGAUCUAUGUCUCAUUGUGUCACUCUGUUCUUUCGCCUCACUUUGGUGCUCUUUGGUAUUCACAUUUUCUCUCAUGCAUAUAUAUAUAGGGUUUUGACAUUCAUAAGGUUCUCAACCAUCACAUUAUACAAGUUGUACUCACAAUCAUGGAACAUCACAUUUUUAUCAUUACUUUACCCUAGGUGCAUGCAACAAUGUAUAUACAUAUGUUCAAUUGAAUGACACAUUAGGCAUAGAGGGAAGUUCAACGAGUUUGAAAAGCACCACCCACCUCAUAGGCUUUCAAGGGUGCUCCGAUGAUUUUCUUAGGAUUUUUAGAUCCUUCGUUUUUUACCUGCGGCAAAACGAAGCCAACUUAGGCCAUUUUGCCCAUAACUUUUUAUGGACUUUUCGUAAUGCUAAUCCGAGUGCACCAACGCGUCGGAAAUACCCCCAAUUAGAUUUCUAGAGGGUCAAUUUCACUUAGAAAAUCCCAAGAGCAAAAGCCCCAAUUUGGGUGCCCUAGCUCUAUAGCAUAUAUCAAACCUAAGGUUUGAUCUCAAGGGGAAGCAAAAGUAGCUUCAUUCUACUCUAAAGAGUCCAUCUAAACCAUUCUUAGCUUAAUCAAAACCCAUUUUAGGGUUUCACCAUGAGAGGUGGUUGAAGCUCACCCCUAAGCUUCAUUACAUACACCAUUUCCAUGGUUUGAUCUCUAAAAGAAGCAAGAAAAAGCUUCAAAUACUCAAUAGGUUCUAUAAAAACCAUUUCUAGGGUCUUUAUCACAAUAGGGAUCAAAGCUUACCUCAAAGCUUUUCCUCCUUGCUUCAAUGAGAAAGAAGAUGGAGUUGCUUCACUCCCUUGGCUUCUUCUUCACCUUCUUCUCCUUUUUCUUCUCUUCUUUUUCCUUCCUUUCCUUGUCUUCUUCUUCUCAUUCUUUGUCCUCUAGAGAGAGAAAGAGAGGAGGGAGUGUGAGAGGGUGAGAAAUGAGAGAAAUUUCCCAUUUACCCCCCCUUACAUAGCUCAAUGGGUUGCCAAAUUGCUAUUAAACCCCUCAACUUUUACUUUAUUACACUGCCUGGACUGGGCAGAUUUUGGGCUCAGGGACCGGUCUCCCUGACUAGGAACCGGUUCCCGAAGGUCCUCCCCACGGGCAGCAGGGCUUUCACACAGAACAACCGGUCUCUCCCAGUGAGACCGGUCUCUCCCCGCAGGGACCGGUUCCCGAGAGCUAAUUUUCUAGGACUUAGCCGAUUUUCGGCCUCGCUCAGUUUUCACAUGUUCGGCGACCGGUCUCUCCCACCAGGGACCGGUCCCCGAGAGCUCAAAAACUGCAGUUUGCAGAUUUUUGAUUCUUUAGCUCUCGAAAACCUCCCAUAACUCACUUUUGAUCAUUUUAACACCUACGGACUUUCCGAAGUGUACCAUCCUCGCACUUUGGUCAAUUUGACUAAAGUUCGAUAUUUAUUUUCCGAAUUUUCGGUAUAUUACAUUCUCCACCCCUUAAAAUAAUUUCGUCCGCGAAAUUAUGCAUACCUUAACUCGUCGACUCAAAUAAGUGCGGAUACUUUCUCUGCAUUGACUCCUCGAGCUCCCAAGUGGCCUCUCGCACAGCAUGGUUGCUCCAUUGGACUUUCACAUAUGGAAUCUUGCGACUUCGCAACUUCCUCACUUCUCUAUCGAGGAUGCACACCGGGUACUCCUCAUAAGACAUAUCCUCACGUAACUCCACGGGCUCAUACUCCAAUACAUGUGUUGAGUUUCGGAUAUAUUUUCGAAGAUUCGACACAUGAAACACAUUAUGAACUCCCGCGAGUCUCGGUGGUAAAGCGAGCUUGUACGCCACCGCACCCCCACGCUCCAAUAUCUCAAAUGGUCCGACGUAUCAGGGGCUUAACUUCCCGCGGACCCCAAAUCGUUUGACUCCUCGCAUCGGCGAUACUCUAAAAAACACACGGUCUCCAACCGCGAACUCUCCAACCGUUGACGGGCAAGGCGAACUUUCUCUUCCGCCUCCUGUACUACAUCCGGGCCAGGAGCCGUUCUCUCACACACGUCGCUCCAAUAGAUAGGAGAACGACACUUACGUCCAUAUAAUGCCUCAAAAGGCGACAUUGCUAUACUUUCUUGGUAGCUAUUAUUGUAGGCGAACUCCGCCAUAGGCAAGAAAUCAUGCCAUCCUCCUUUGUAAUCUAGCACACACGCUCGAAGCAAGUCCUCGAUGAUUUGUAUCGUCCGCUCUGACUGUCCAUCACUCUGAGGAUGAAACGCUGUGCUAAAGUCGAGCCGUGUGCCUAGCGCGUCUUGUAAACUCUUCCAAAAAUGGGAUGUGAACCUGGGGUCUCGGUCCGAUACGAUUGAUAUCGAAACCCCAUGAAGUCUCACAAGUCACAAUCUCGUCGAGGUAGACUUGAGCUAACUUGUCUCCCGACCACGUAGUAUGUAUCGGCAAGAAGUGUGCCGACUUUGUCAAUCGAUCUACUAUCACCCAUAUCGCAUCGUGUCCGCCUUGCGAUCGAGGCAAACCGGUAACAAAGUCCAUCGCUAUAUCUUCCCACUUCCACACGGGUAUAGAUAGACUUUGUAGCUUUCUCGCCGAAAAUCGGCGUUCUGCUUUAACUUUUUGGCACGUUAGACAUUGCGCCACAAACUCUCCAAUAUGUCUUUUCAUACCCGGCCACCAAUAAUGCUCUUUCAAAUCCUUAUACAUUUUAGUGCCACCGGGGUGUAUACUAUAGGGAGAUUGGUGCGCUUCUUGCAUGAUUGCCCUUCGCAACUCAUCAUCUUUGGGCACGUACCAACGAUUUCGAAAUCGAAAUGCACCGUCAGCUCCAAUGCCAAAGUCUUCGGCAUUGCCAUUCUCAACUUCCCCUUGCAUCUUUUGAAGGUAAGGGUCCGAGGCUUGAAGAUCCUUGAGUCUUUCCAAUAGGGUCGGUUGCACAACUAAUGCGGUAAGUGUAGCCGGCACUCCCGGCGCUACCACUUCCAAUCCAAAUCGUUGCAUCUCCUUUUGCACUAGCGGUUGAGGCGUAAUUGCCAUCGCUAAGUUCUCCGCCGAUUUUCUACUUAGAGCAUCGGCCACGACAUUGGCUUUCCCGGGGUGGUACAGUAUAGUGACAUCGUAGUCCUUCAACAAUUCCAACCACCGCCGCUGCCGCAUAUUCAACUCCUUCUGGGUGAACAAGUACUUGAGACUCUUGUGAUCUGUGUAGACCUCGCAAUGCUCACCAUAUAAGUAAUGCCUCCAAAGCUUUAGCGCGAAGAUCACCGCGGCUAACUCGAGGUCGUGAAUCGGGUAGUUCUUCUCAUAACUCUUUAAUUGGCGCGAUGCAUAUGCAAUGACUCGCCCAUUUUGUAUUAAUACAUACCCGAGACCAACAUAAGAGACAUCACUAUACACUACAAAAGUCUCCCCCGGAGUCGGCAAGGCAAGCACCGGGGUCGACGUCAACCUGUUCUUUAACUCCUCGAAGCUUCGAUCGCAAUCAUCGCCCCACACGUAUCUUACUCCUUUAUGCGUAAGGCACGUUAGUAGAAUGGUUAUUUUGGCGAACCCCUCCACGAACCGCCGGUAGUAGCCCGCAAGUCCAAGAAAACUGCGGACCUCCGCUACAUUCGUCGGGCGAGGCCAAUCCUUUGUUGCCUCUACUUUCUUCGGGUCUACCGAAACUCCAUCGCCCGAUACCACAUGACCUAAAAAUGUGACCUCCUUUAGCCAAAAAUCACAUUUCUUCAACUUUGCAUAGAGCUUCUCUUGUCUGAGUAUUUGCAACACAGCUCUCAGAUGCUCUUCAUGUUCCUCUUAACUUUUCGAGUAGACCAAUACGUCGUCUAUAAACACCACGACGCAUCGAUCCAACAACGGCCUAAAGACUCGAUUCAUCAAGUCCAUAAAUGCUGCUGGGGCGUUAGUAAGCCCAAACGGCAUUACCGUAAACUCCUAAUGGCCAUACCGCGUGCGGUACGCCGUCUUGUGCACAUCCAUCGGCCUAAUCUUUAGUUGAUGAUACCCCGAUUGGAGAUCAAUCUUCGAAUACACCUUGGACCCUUGCAACUGAUCGAAUAGAUCGUCAAUCCUUGGCAACGGGUACUUGUUCUUUAUCGUCACUUUGUUCAACUCGCGAUAAUCUACGCAGAGUCGAAGUGUGCCAUCCUUUUUCUUCACAAAUAGCACCGGAGCUCCCCACGGUGACACACUCGGUCUCACGAAGCCUUUAUCGAGCAAGUCUUGUAGUUGACCUUUUAGCUCCUUUAACUCCACCGGUGCCAUUCUAUACGGAGCCUUCGAAACUGGUUCCGCCCCGGGAAUCAAGUCAAUGACAAACUCAACUUCCCGGUCCGGUGGCAGUCCCGGUAACUCCGCCGGAAAUACAUCCGGGUACUCGCACACUACUCGAAUAUCUCCCAACUCUGGGUACUCCUUUCGAGCAUCCACCAUGGUUGCCAAAUAGGCCUUACACCCUCCUUUGAUCAUUCUCUUCGCCCUUACAGACGAUAUAGUCGCCGCGAAGCGCCUACUUUUGCACGCUUGGUAGACUAACUCUUCUUGAUUAGGCUCACGAAAAGUGAUCACCUUGCUUUCACAAUCUAUCACCGCAUAGUACUUGGAGAGCCAGUUGGUCCCCAAGAUAACAUCGAAUCCCCACAUCUGAUCUAGCACUAGCAGAUCAAUCGGCAUAAUCCAAUCGCCUAUUUGCACUGGACAAGCCAAACACUCGUUAUGGACACUGAAUGAAUGUUCUUGGGCAUUCACCCACCAGUAGUCCUCGUUGUAUACCAUCUCUAUGCCAUGAGUUUUAGCAAAUGACGUGCUAAUGAAUGAAUGAGAUGCACCUGUAUCAAACACUGCUCUAGCUCUAGUGCCUUUAAUCACAAUUAUACCUGCCACGACGUCGUCGGGCGCUGUAGGUUGUUGUUCCUCCACCUGAGCGGCAAAGACUCGGCCGGUAGGUGCUCUCGAUCCCUCCGGCUGACGCGGUGAUGACGCACGCCCAGCCGACAUCGCUGGUGGUAACCCCGCAAGCUGUCUCGGGGUAGACGGUGCUGAAGCCGCCGUCGGCGCAGACGACGUCCAUGUCGGGCACUCCCGGAUAAGGUGUCCCAGUUGGCCACACUUGAAACACUUGCCGUCGUGCUGCGGGCAAGUCGACACCUUGUGCUUACCGCCGCAAAUAACACAUCGAGGAGGUCUCCAGUUCAUCGACUGCUGCCGGGGAUACCAAAGGGAUUUCUUAGCAUUUGGCCGGCCCCUGGCACCGCCCGCCGUCCGCUUCUUGCCUUUCUCUUUACUCUCGGCCAUAGCUUCUCGUUCUUCGCGUACAUGGGCGCUACCGUGCUCCGCCCACAAAGCUCUAUCAAAAACCUCCGCAAAGGUCAUCAACUUUAAGAUCUGCACCUUUUCGUAGAUCCGGGGCUGGAGUCCUCGCAAGAACCAGUCAGCCCGAUCCCGAUCAUCUCUAACAACAUCGGGAACACAGUCUAUGAUGUGAGAGAAUUCUUGCUCGUAUUCCCUCACCGAUCGAUCGCCCUGUCUCAACUUGGGGAACUUUUCUUGUAACCUCCGCUUCACCGUGUCAGGGAAGUAGUUCGCGAAUAACGCUCUCUUGAACUCCUCCCAAAGCACAAGCGGGAGAUCGGUAGGUCAAUCCCGCUUCACUCGCUUCCACCACACCAUCGCCGCCCUCUCUAGACAAUGUGUGGCGAGGUACACUUUAUCCUUCUCCGAGGUAUUGAGGUCCUCGAAGAGCGUUUCCAUCGAGUCGAUCCACGACUCCACCACCGCUAGCUCCACCAAUCCACCCUCAAAGACAGGUGGGUUGAACUUCUUGAACUGAAUGAGAGCCGCCAACGUGCGCUCUCGCUCCGCUUCUACCGCCGCACUAUCGGGAUUUGAGGUUCCCGAUCCGGCCGGUACUACCGUAACUGGAACAGCCGCCGCUGCUGCCGCUCCCUCGUCCACGCCCGGCACUACCACAGGGGAUACGACAUGCUCGGCACCCACCUGGGCCGCCGCCUGCUGUCGCUCCAAGGCCUCCCGGAGCCGCUAAAUCUGCUCCCCUUGGCGUUGGACAGACUCCGCUUGUUGUCGCACCACUCCAAUGAGCGCGGCCAUUUGCUCCCUGAGCUCUCCGUCGCUACUCGCUCCGGAUCGCUCGGGCUCCGCACUUGGCUCCUCCGGCAUCGACCUUGUCUGCGGUCGUCCACGAGGUGCCAUUGCUUCCUGAAAAGAAGCAACUCGCGUUAGCUACUUGACCAACAUUACUUGACCAACCCAAUCCGGCGAAAGCAACAUGCACAUUCACCCUUGCCUCUCGCGUCAGGUCGUCGGCCGCCCGACACAACGCUAGAAGUAGAGGAUAAACGAAAUUUAAACUUAGCCUCUAAUCACAUUAGAGACGUCCCAACUUGACCCAAUCACAUGCUUUCGCUAACAUUAAUUCCACGUCACUCACGUUUCCUAGAUCCUUAAGGUCUUCCAAUCCUAAGGGUCUCUAGGUCCAUUCCUAUUCUUUCACUCUGAUACCACGAUAUCUGUCAUGCCCCGGGACCGAUACCAAUUUGGGCCGGCCCGAGCACGUCAAACAGACGCCGAACGGACAGAGUUUUUCCUGUCCGCCCAAGGCUCAUCACAUGUACAUUUUCAAACAAGAAGUGCAUUAGCGGAAACAUACAAAUACGGCUUACACGAGGGUAAGCAAUAGCCACGAGUGAAAGAAAAGAAACUAAACAUUUACUUGUACUAUGAUUCAUUUUAGAUCAUAUACAUUAAAUCCAACUUGUACAAUUUCAAUUCCUUACAUUCAUUACAUCGUUUCGUCAUUUCUUUCUUACAUCACAUUUACCUCAAAAGAGGGCUUUACAUUCUUUCUUUACAUCACUAAUCAUCAAGUACAAAAGAUGAUAAAAGGGUAUGUUACUACAAAAUGUAAACCCAACUCUGGUGGCCACUGUUUAAGGCGCGAUAUCUUUACCUCGAUCGCUCGCCGGCUCGCUCGGUCCCGACUCUGUGGAAUAGUGGGGUGAGAACUACAACAAAGUUUCCAGUGGGUUCGGCCUCAAUCUCACCGACUUUCCCACUAGGACUAACUCAGGCAUAAUAGAAAGGAAAAGCUGUAAAUAGUAACCAAUCUAUAACAUGAUACAAAUAUGCCUGAACAAUAAGCAGGAAGUAUGCUCAAUAUUAACAUAUGCAGAUUAUGCAAGUUCUUUUGUUCUUUACACUUUACACUUUGUGUUUUUACUCUUUGCUCUUUGUUCUUUAAUCUUAAGGCUAACCCGGGGGUUUCGCCACAUUAACUUGCUUCACAUUAAGUCCAUCAUCGCGGGCCCUCAGCUUCCUCCCGCUAAGACCGUCCUUCAGGUUUACUCCAACCCGUGAUGCAAAAACUCCGGAGCGCAUCGCCCGAGGGGGAGCGACCGCCCUCGAGCACGGAACUCAUAGCAAGUAUGAUCGAAUCCUUAACUCAAAGGAUUGUAUGUUCAAUCUUGACUUUACACUAACUCUAGUGUUCUUUACAUCACUUUAUGUUGCUACUCUAGCAAUCAUGGUUCUUUACCUUUCUUUACUUUUGCUAACUUUAGCAUUUUUGUUCUUUACACCCACUUUGUUCUCACUUUAGUCAUUAUCAUUGUUCUUUACAUCGCAUUGACUCUUUGCCUCACACUACCUCUAGUGUCACUUUACUUUACAUUAUCAAAUGCCACUCAAUCUAUGUCUCAUUGUGUCACUCUAUUCUUUCGCCUCACUUUGGUGCUCUUUGGUACUCACAUUUUCUCUCAUGCAUACAUAUAUAGGGUUUUGACAUUCAUAAGGUUCUCAACCAUCACAUUAUGCAAGUUGUACUCACAAUCAUGCAACAUCACAUUUUUAUCAUUACUUUACCCUAGGUGCAUGCAACAAUGUAUAUACAUAUGUUCAAUUGAAUGACACAUUAGAUAUAGAGGGAAGUUCAACGAGUUUGAAAAGCACCACCCACCUCGUAGGUUUUCAAGGGUGCUCCGAUGAUUUUCUUGAAAUUUUUAGAUCCUUCGUUCUUUACCUGCGGCAAAACGAAGCCAACUUAGGCCAUUUUGCCCAUAACCUUUUAUAGACUUUUCGUAAUGCUAAUCCGAGCGCACCAACGCGUCGGAAAUACCCCCAAUUAGGUUUCUAGAGGGUCAAUUUCACUUAGAAAUCUCCAAAAGCAAAAGCCCCAAUUUGGGUGCCCUAACUCCAUAGCAUACAUCAAACCUAAGGUUUGAUCUCAAGGGGAAGCAAAAAUAGCUUCAUUCUACUCUAAAGAGUCUAUCUAAACCAUUCUUAGCUUAAUCAAAACCCAUUUUAGGGUUUCACCAUGAGAGGUGGUUGAAGCUCACCCCUAAGCUUCAUUACAUACACCAUUUCCAUGGUUUGAUCUCUAAAAGAAGCAAGAAAAAGCUUCAAAUACUCAAUAGGUUCUAUAAAAACCAUUUCUAGGGUCUUUAUCACAAUAGGGAUCAAAGCUUACCUCAAAGCUUUCCCUCCUUGCUUCAAUGAGGAAGAAGAUGGAGUUGCUUCAGUCCCUUGGCUUUUUCUUCACCUUCUUCUUCUUUUUCUUCUCUUCUUUUUCCUUCUUUUCCUUGUCUUCUUCUUCUCCUUCUUUGUCCUCUAGAGAGAGAAAGAGAGGAGAGAGUGUGAGAGGGUGAGAAAUGAGAGAAAUUUUCCAUUUACCCCCCCUUACAUAGCUCAAUGGGUUGCCAAAUUGCUAUUAAACCCCUCAACUUUUACUUUAUUACACUGCCUGGACUGGGCAGAUUUCGGGCUCAGGGACCGGUCUCCCCGACUAGGGACCGGUUCCCGAAGGUCCUCCCCGCGGGCAGCAGGGCUUUCGUGCAGAACAACCGGUCUCUCCCAAUGAGAUCGGUCUCUCGGGGACCGGUCUCUCCCCGCAGGGUCCGGUUCCCGAGAGCUAAUUUUCUAGGACUUAGCCGAUUUUCGGCCUCGCUCAGUUUUCACACGUUCGGGGAUCGGUCUCUCCCACCAGGGAUCGGUCCCCUAGAGCUCAAAAACUGCAGUUUGCAGAUUUUUGAUUCUUUAGCUCUCGAAACCUCCCAUAACUCACUUUUGAUCAUUUUAACACCUACGGACUUUCCAAAGUGUACCAUCCUCACACUUUGGUCAAUUUGACUAAAGUUCGAUAUUUAUUUUCCGAAUUUUCGGUAUAUUACAAUGUCACUAUUGCCUCAAUAUUCAUAAGGUUUUUUUUGUCUAGCAAUCCAUAUUUUUAGGUGCUAAUCAAUCCAUCUAGUCAUAAUAUCACCUUGUUUACUAUAUUGUCAUAGUCCACCACUUGGUUCAUACAUUCAUAGGGUUUCAAUAUAUCCAAGAUUCUAGUCACAAUUUAUAUACCACUUGAUACAAGCAUUUCCACAUGUUUUCCAUAACAUGACAUUAAGCCUACAAUGCAUGAAUACUGUACAUAUACACAUAUGCUCAAAAGAAGGCGGGAUAAACAUAAUGAGAAAUUCAAUGAUUUCGAAUAGCACUACCCACCUUGUAGGGAUGCCGAGGUGCGAGAAUCCAAGUCCUGCGAUUUUUAAACGCCUAAAUCCCUCGACCCACGGCUAACGGAAGCAAAAUGAGGUUUUUCCUCAAUAUAAUGCUGUUGACUCAUCGGAACUUCGAUCCGAGUCUCCUAACGCAUCAAAUUAAUCUUUAAUUAGGAAUACAAGAGAUCAAUUUUAUAAUAGAUCUCAAUUCCUACAAAAUCCUAUUUCCAACCCUAAGGUUUACACAUACUACCCAUAAUCCAAAUUUCUUAGGAUUUUAUGGAGUAAUCCAAGUUUUCAAUCCUAAGAACUCAAAAACAAACAAAUUAGGGUGUUUACAUUGAACCCUAACAAAUAGGAGCAGGAACCUACCUAAGCCACCUUGUUCCCCAAAGCCCUCCUUGUUCUUGAGCCUCUCUACCACCAAGACCACCAAUUCCACCUUCGAUUCUCCUCCCAAACCUCCUUGAUGGAGAGAUUCUAGAGAGAGAAGGAGAGGUAGAUGAGAAGAAGAAGGAGAAAAUGUAUUCUCUUGCAUGAGAAUAACAGGUGUAGGGUUGGAGUUAUUUAUAGACUCCAACAAUUGCAGCUAAGUCCCCCAACAAUUCUCACUUACAACCAUGAAAAAUUCAGUCCUGCACAGGACUGAGUACCGGUACUUGGGUUGGAGUACCGAAUACGCGGGCUCCCAGUACCGGUACUCAACUACGCAGUACCGGUACCCGCCAAGGCCGCAACCAAACCCGAGAGCUAGCAUUCGGGGUUUAAUGCGGAGUACCAGUACGCAGCACCCCGUACCGGUACACGAUAGGUCCAGUACCGGUACUAGCUACGUGGUACCGGUAUCCAACCAUGUGACCUCCCAAACCCGAGAGCUCACCUUUCGGGCAAUUAACUGAGUACCGGUACUCAACCUCCGGUACCGGUACGGAGCUUGCCAAGGUCCCGAACUCGAGAGUUGAUCAUUUUGCAUUUCUUUUGGGUACCGGUACCCCGUCUCCUGGUACCGGUACUCAAUGCAAUUUCCACAAUUCCAGCAGGUUCAAUACUUUAGAGUUCAUUUUUGUGCUCGGUUUGCGCCGAAAACACCCAAACACUCUCGAAGCUCACUUCUAACUAUCCCAACGCCUUCAGGCAACUCGGGGACUUCACUUAUUACCCUCAUACCUCACUUUGAUCAAAUUCGAUCAAAGUUAGCAUUACGAUUCGGUAUAUUACAGUGUGGAUGACCGAAUUAAUUUCGGAGUGUUUUGGAGCAGUAGGGGGCUUAACGAAAAACCAAAAUGUGAAAAUCGAGCGAUUUAGGGAGCGAUUUCGUAUCACGCUGGUUGUUGCUAUUUGCAGCGGUGUGGUAGCCUUAUUUGAUGGUGUUGGAGUGAGGUGUGACACUUUUGGUUGCAGCAAGAUGGCUACGGGUGGUUCCGGUGCCGAAACGAGUAUUCCGGGAGCCAAACCGGUGAUUUCCAGGAUCCCGGCUUUCCGUUUUGACGCAUUCUUUGUGUGGCCGUCUCAAUGGCAUUAAUUUAAUGUAUUGGGACAGCGAAUGAGGUAGGCUUUGUCUAGGACUUGUUCUGGAAUGCCCUGUGAGUUGGCGUGACGUUUCGUCGAGUCGGUACGACGAUCAUGCGAUCUUCCGGUGACCGUUGGACGGAAUCCGGAAACUCGAUUGUUCGCUUGUUUGGAUUUAUUUGGAAUUAUAGGUUUUUAUAAUUAGCGGGUUUAAGCUAAUUACGUUUUUGGUGGGACUUUGUAUAGGUCCGGACUGUGGUGAAAGACAUCGAUGGGUGUCGAUGACCCGAUUUUUACUUUUCGGUAGAGGUGGGUACUUCUAUCCGAAGUUAGUAAAGUGGUGCCUGCUUGGUAAUUUCUAUCCUUGUUAUCUCCUUCUAUUUAUUUGUUGUUGGCUGAGCAUUCAUACACUACUUGACUUCAUAUUUAGUCGCUAUACGGUUACUCUUAUUUCAUAUGGUCAUAAUCUAGUAGUACAGUGGUGUUCCUGAUGAUUGAGUCAUCCAUGGUAUGUUCAUAGUAGAUAACCUUGUAGUCGGUGGAAUUUCCAUUUUGGCAUGCUCAUAGUAGAUGACAUGACAUUGAUUGACCUUGUGGUCGGUGACACUCAUAUUCGUAUACAACAUGAUUUGACAUUAGUUGACCUUGUGGUCGGUGACACUCAUAUUCGUACACAACAUGAUUUGACAUUAGUUGACCUUGCGAUCGGUGACUCUCUAGUAGACUAUUGCAUGACUGCAUUGUUUGAUCUGGUUGGUCGGUGAUAUUGUUCUAUCCUCGAGAUAGAGGUUUACCUGAUUGGUCGGUUAUUCCUUGUUGGAUUUUAUCUCGGCUAUCCGGCGAUAGUUCGCUAUUGAGCAUAUUACAUCGAUCACCACAGCUCAUGUACAUUUUACGUACACCAGUGGUCUGAUCCACUGCAGGAGGGUAUUAUUUUUCGAAAAGUGGUCGUACUUCGACCCGUGAACCUAGCAGCCUAUUGCUAGGGUUAUAUGCCUGGUGGUUGACCAUAAUGUGGAAUUGCCUGAGGUCUUUAGACCAAUACGGUGGGUUUGAUUGGGUAUUUUUGGACGAUCUGUUUGGUUGAUACAUGUAACACCCCCAAUAGUCACACAUCGGAUGGGAUACUGAUUCCGAUCAGUUUAUAUGAGGCCUACACGCUGGUAACAAUAACUGGGCUUAAGCAUUUUGGGCUGGUGGUUUGAGCCCAACGAGUUAUUGUUGCUAGCGGGUCGGAUCGUUAUAAUUGGUAUCAGAGCCGAAUACUAGCCGGAAGUGUUGAGCUAAUUGCUAUACGGGGCAAAGUGCUACACCAACGGGUUUGGUGGGAGCCACCUCUUGAACCUGUAGGACCCAUCUCUAGAAUCUCACAUCGCCUGAUAAUUCUGGUCCUGGUCUGUCUGUCUGUCUGUGAUAUGGUUUGGACCCGAUGAGGACGUUAGGGUCUAAACAGGGGGAGUUUGUAACGCCCCAAUAGUCCUACAUCGGGUGGGAUACUGAUUUCAAUCGGUUUAUAUGAGGUCUACACGCUAGUGAUAAUAACUGGGUUUAUGCAUUUUGGGCGGGUAGUUUGGGCCCAACGAGUUAUUAUUGCUAGCGGGUCGGGUCAUUUAUACCAAAUGUAACAACCCGACCUGCCAGCAAUAAUAACUCGUUGGGCCAAAACCACCGGCCCAAAAUGCUUAAGCUCAGUUAUUAUCACUAACGUGUAGGCCUCAUAUAAACCGUUCGAAAUCAGNUAUGCAUUUUGGGCGGGUAGUUUGGGCCCAACGAGUUAUUAUUGCUAGCGGGUCGGGUCAUUUAUACCAAAUGUAACAACCCGACCUGCCAGCAAUAAUAACUCGUUGGGCCAAAACCACCGGCCCAAAAUGCUUAAGCUCAGUUAUUAUCACUAACGUGUAGGCCUCAUAUAAACCGUUCGAAAUCAGUAUCCCACCCGAUGUGGGACUAUUAGGGCGUUACAAACUCCCCCUGUUUAGACCCUGACGUCCUCGUCGGGUCCAAACCAAAUCACAAACAGAUAGACCAGCACCAGAAUUACCAGGCGAUGUGAGAUUCUAGAUGUGGCUCCUACGAGUUCAAAAAUGUGGCUCCCACCAAAUCCGUUGGUGUAGCACUUUGCCCCAUAUAGCACUUAGCUCUCAUACUUUCGAUUGUUAUUCGGCUCUGAUACCAAUUAUAAUGACACGACCCGCUAACAACAAUAACUCGUUGGGCUCAAACCACCAGCCCAAAAUGCUUAAGCCCAGUUAUUGUUACUAGCGUGUAGGCCUCAUAUAAACUGAUCGGAAUCAGUAUCCCAUUUGAUGUGGGACUAUUGGGGGUGUUACAAACUCCCCCUAUUUAAACUCUGACGUCCUCGUCGGGUCUAAAUCGGAUCACAGAUAGACAGACAUACUAGAAUUAUCAGGCGAUAUGAGAUUCUAGAGGUGGUUCCUACGGUUUCAAGAGGUGGCUCCCACCAAAUCCGUUGGUGUAGCACUUUGCCACGCAUAGCACUUAGCUCUCAUAUUUUCGACUCGUAUUUCGCUCUGAUACCAAUUGCAACGACCCCACCCGCUAGCAACAAUAACUCGUUGGGCCAAAACUACCGGCACAAAAUGCUUAAGCUCAGUUAUUAUCACUAGCGUGUAGGCCUCAUAUAAACCGAUUGAAAUCAGUAUCCCACCCGACGUGGGACUAUUGGGGCGUUACAAUACAUACUUACAUUCUGUUCUACAUUACAGUAGCGGUUAGUUACAUUCCUCGUUACGGUUGUUUUUUCUUCCAGUAUUAUUAUUGCUGUACUUAUGAUAUCUGCUCAUGCAUUCUGUUCUACAUUAUUGUAGCGGUUAGUUAUAUUCCUGUUUACUGCUAAUUAUCUUUCUAGUAUUAUUGCUACUGUAUUUAUGAUAUCUCCUCAUGAUUAUGGUUAUCGCUUCCUUUGCCGGUGAGUACUCCUCACUUUCGUUGGCUUGCGGUACCCAUUGGGAGGGGAGACAUGUGUACAUGUUCUCACCCCCCACCAUUUUUCAGGUGACGCGGAUGGUGAGGGUUCGGACGAUGCGUGAGGACGGUGUUAGAUAGUUGUACCAAGAGUUAUCUAUUGAUGAUGUUCAUUAUUUUUCUGUUGGAUUUGUUUAGUUCUUCACCUCACUGAUGCUUAAUAUUAAUUGAUAUAUCCGAAUUAUUGUUAUAUUAUGAUCAUUGGAUGUUUGCGUUGUGUGGUGGUUUGUGUGUUGGACCUUGUACUAUGAUGCUCCGUCGUGCAUGUACAAAGAAGACUAUGUCCGUCCAUGCAGGGGAUCCUUUGUCUAUGUGGUAGGUCUGUGCGGGUCCACGGGAUGUUCUCAAAAGUAUAUAUAUAAAAAAAUCACAUGUUUUCCGCUACCUUUCCUACAAAAGAUUUUCAACAGAACUACGGGACGUAACAGAGCUCCACCCGCAAUAGUCAACAGCAUGAGAGCCUCGCUCUCUCCGCUGUAUAAUUCUGACUCAGCCGAGACUUAUCUCACACUUCCGGCUGGUAAUUGGCUCUGAUACCAACCGUGACGCCCCAACUUCCUAGGAGGUCAUCCAUCCUAAGACUAUGGCCCCCUCCUAAGACUAGUCCCGCCCUAGCACGCUUAACUCUAUUAACCUCUUGGGUCUAACCACCGCCCAAAAUGCUUAAGCACAGUUAUUAUUAUGAGGGUGGAGCCCUCCUAUAAACCCAAUGACAACCCCAUUCUUAUCCGAUGUGGGACUAUUGGGGUGUCACACCGAUGGAGAGCAAGAGUCCAGCUUGGAAUACUACGACAUCAACGUAGGUAGCCAGACUCCGGAGCGACACUCGUGGGCGUGAUCCAACCGAGUAUGCAAGCGUGUCUCUAUCGAGCACAAUCAAUCUUAUACAAGCUAUAAUCAAAACAAAUGAGUCAAACUAGUCUAACAAUCAAGACUCACGUGCCCUCGACACAAUCAGAUGCAAGAAGUAAAAAUAUGGGCCCACCAUCAGCUCCGAUAGCACCCAACUAUAUGAAAUAGUCUAAAUGUUGCUGUAAAAAUGUGCUCAGCAUCUCAGCAUGAAUGUAAUCUCAAUCUACACUAAUCUCAGUAUCCACCUCGCACUAACAGCAGUGAUACAAAAGGAAAAACAGCUCCUAAAGCUAAAUCAGUUAACUUUUCGAAAAGUGAUAGGCGUAAAUUUAAUAAGUUUUCUCCUAAGUCAAAUCCUAAUUCAACAUAUAAAACUUAUCUAAAAUCAUUAGAUUAUACUCCAAAUUAAGAUUUCAUAUAAAAACAUGCAAAUCCAUGAAUUCGAGCUACUAACAAGAUUAUAUAACCCAAAUAAAAGCAUGCUGAAAUUCUCUACAAGUUAGGAGGAAUUUCGAAGUAUUCAGUCGACAUUAACCAACCUCAAACACGAGUCCAACAACGGCUAGAAAUCGACGAGAAGAACCCUACACAAGAUCAGCCUCAACCAAAGCAAUAUCAGCCUGCAGUCCAGUUCUAGAUCCUUCCGCAGCCACUUAUGGGCACCCAGAUCUUGAGUCCAAAUCUGCCCAUUGCCAGCUCCAAGACUACCCGAGUUCCAUUUGGAAAUUAGCUCAAUUCUGAGUUGAAAGUCAGGAAAACUUCACCAAACAUAUCCCCGCAAUAAAAAGAAUUGAAGUGGACUAAAUCCUCAUCUCCGUCACAAAGAUCGAGCUCUCAAAAUAGCCACAAAAGUCCCUCCUUGCAAUCUGGAUCCAGAAAAAAAGGUCGAGUUUAGGAUCCAAAAAACUGCACGUAAACAAUUUCUUGCUCCAGCUCAAAUCCAAGAAUUCCAACUUAUAAAACUAGUGGAAUAAAGUCACAAACCUCCAAAGAUGAGGGAAUGAGCAAUCCAAAUCCAACAAUAAGCCCUCUACCAAAAUUUGGAUUCAAAAGUCUAAGAAUUUCCAUCAAAACCUCAAAAACUGUAUUAGAAGUUCAAUUCAUCCAAAAUCUGAGCUAAACUCACCUUUGAAUCUGAAAUUCUGGUGAGGAACAACUUCUAAACUAGUGAAGAAGGAUGAGGAAACAAAUCCAAGUCCAAAAGUCCAAUCUCUACAUGAAUCGAGUCUAAGAAUCCAUAAAAAUCUCAACUUUAGCUCAUAACACCAAUUUCCCAGGAAUUUCAGCAAUUAGACACUACUAACCUGAAUUAAAAGCUGUUAGAAGGAUCCCACAUACUCUCUAUCAAGUCUUCUAUUCACGAAAUCACUCCUUACAACAAUUGGAUGCUCCAACAAUGCACACGAGUAAGUUCUAUCCCAAUUGCUACUAGAAUUCUGCAGAAUUUCUAAGUCCUCAAUGAUAAAAAGUGGAAUUUAAGGGAUUUGGAGGGGGUUCCAUGCAAAAUCCUGAGUUUCCUGUGAUGAAGGGGAGAAAAUGUCACGCCCCGAGACCGAUACCAAUUUGGUCCGACCCGAGCACGUCAAACAGACGUUGAACGGACAGAGUUUUCCCUAUCCGCCCAAGGCUCAUCACAUGUACAUUUUCAUCAAUAGAGAAAAGCACUAGCGGAAACAUACACAAACGGCUUACACGAGGGUAAGCAAUAGCCACGAGUGAGAGAUAGGAAACUAGCAUUCAUUUUGUACUAUGAUUCAAUUUAGAUCAUAUACAUUACAUCCAACUUUUACAUUUACAAUUCCCUAUAUUUCAUUGCAUCAUUUCAUCAUUUCUUUCUUACAUCACAUAUACCUCAAAAGGGUGCUUUACAUUCUUUUCUUUACAUUAUUUCUCAUCAAGUACAAAAGAUGAACAUAGGGAAACUCUACUAGUAAAAUGUAAACCAACUCUGGUGGCCUUUGACUAAAGUGCGAUACCUUUAUCGCGGUCGCUCGCCGGCUCGCUAGGUCCCGGCUCUGUGGAAUAGUGGGGUGAGAACUACAACAAAGUUCCCAGUGAGUUCGGCCUCAAUCUCACCGACUUUCCCACUAGGACUAACUCAGGCAUAAUAGAAAGAAUAGGCUGUAAAUAGUAACUAAACUAUACAUGAUACUAAUAUGCCUGAACAAUAAGCAGAAAUAUGCUCAACAUUAAAUAAAUGCAGAUUAUGCAAAUUCUUUGUUCUUUUCACUUCAUUCUUUGUUCUUUGUUCUUUGUUCUUUGUACUUUGUUCUUUACUCUUUGUUCUUUAACCUCAAGGUUAACUCGGGGGUAUCGCCACAUUGACUUGCUUCACAUUAAGUUCAUCAUCGCAGGAACUCACCCGCUAGGACCGUCCUUCGGGUUUACUCCAACCCGUGAUGCAUAACUCCGGAGCGCAUCGCCCGAGAGGGAGCGACCACCCUCGAGCACGGAACUCAUAGCAAGUAUGAUCAUAUCCUUAACUCAAAGGAUUUAUAAGUUCAAUCUUGACUUUACACUAGCUCUAGUGUUCUUUCAUCACUUUUUGUUGCAAACUCAUGUAAACACAUUCUUUACAAUUCUCUACUUUUGCUAACUCUAGCAUUUCUUAUUCUUUUCAUUUCUUUACUCUUGCUAACUCUAGCAAUCAUAUUCUUUACAUUCUUUACUUUUGGCUACCUCUAGCACUUCAUGUUCUUUACUCCCCACAUUACUUUAACUUUAAACAUCGUCAUUUUCAUCAUUCUUUAUAUUACAUUGGUUCUUUACCUCACAUUAUCUCUAGUGUCAUUUCACUUUAACUUUAUCGAAUGCCGCUCGAUCUAUGUCAUUGUGUCGCUCUGUUCUUUUGCUCACUUUGGGUGCUCACUUUUCUCUCAUGCAUACACAUAGGGUUUUUGACGUUCACAUAGUUCUCAUUCAUCAUAUUAUGCAAGUUGUACUCAUAAUCAUGCAUCAUCACAUUUUUAUCAUUACUUUACCCUAAAAUGCAUGCAACAAUAUAUAUACACAUACUCAAAUGAAUGACACAUCAGGCAUAGAGAGAAGUUCAAUAAGUUUGAGAAGCACCACCCACCUCGUAGGCUUUCAAGGGUGCUCCGAUGAUUUUCUUGGAAUUUUUAGACUUCUCGUUCUUCACCUACGGCAAAACGAAGCCAACUUAGGCCAUUUUGCCCAUAACUUUACAUUGGCUUUCGUAACGUUUUUCCGAGCGCACCAACGCGUUCGUUGGAUCCCCAAUUAGGUUUUUGGAGUGUCAAUUUCACUUAGAAAUCCCCAUGAGCAAGAGCCCCAAUUUGGGUGCCCUAUGUCACGACAUAAAGAUUUUCUCCGCGAUUUCGCUUUGCAAUCACCCAAACUCCAAAGCGGACAUCUGACGGAGGUUUUGGCUUGGAAUCUUCUGGAAGCUUCUACGCGGAUCUCGAGACUGAUGGUGCGGAUACCGGAGGGUCAAGAGUCCCUUAGAGUUUCUAGGAUAAUAAAUGUAUGACUCUUGGGAGACCGUAGCGUACUUAUUGGCCUCCCCUUUUGGCUUGUAGUAUUGUGCCACUUGGCACCUUUUCAUUGGCACUAUGAGCGGCGAGUGGCCUAUAUAUAGUGUGGCCUCCACCCCUCUCAUUUCAGAAUCCUCAUUUGUAUUCUCAACUAUUGAAGUAAUAGAAGAGCUUUCUUCUUAUCUCUCUCUUGUACUUAGUCUAGGGCGAGUGAAGUCCUAACUUAGCAAGUAGAGAGGCAGGCUUGCUCACUUCGCGGAGGAAGGCGAGCGCCGCACGGGCUUUUGUGAGCAAAUUCGUUAAGUCCGUGACAGUUGGUAUCAGAGCCGGUUCGAGAAGGAGCCAUGUCAUCAUCAGAGGCCGCUGCUAGCGACGUUGGGGGUGAUGCCUCCAAGCAACCCUCCAAGCGGGGCAAGGGCAAGGACACGCGAAUCACGAAGGAUUCCGUGUCGGUCGAGGACCGCCUUGCACUGUUGGAGGACAUUCUAUCGAAGGUGGGAGAAAGGUACACCGAGAUGGCCGAUACCUUUAACGCCUUCAAUGAAGAUGUUCGCAGUAUGGAGGAGAGCGUCGCCACUGCCAUGGCGACCUUUCGAGGCGAGCUCGAGAAACUCCAAGACAACAUCACCCGUCGUGACGACGAACGGAAGAACUUGAUCGAGGAGCUAGUCACUCGAGUCGACGAGGUCGAGGACCUCAAGACGAGAGUGACUAUCUUGAGAAGGCGGUGGCUCGAGGCGGUGAAACGCAGAAGGAGUACACCCCAAAGGUCCGCGUCCCUGAACCCCAAUGCUUCAAGGGAACGCGCGACGAGAAGGAGAUAGACAACUUCCUUUGGCACAUGGAGCGCUAUCUCAAGGCGCUGCGGAUCGAGGACGAGGAGGACAAGGUCCAGACUGCUUCCAUGUACCUCACCGACGACGCGAUGCUGUGGUGGCGUCGGCGUUCUGCAGAGGCUGAGAAGGGCCAAUGCAAACUGGAUACCUGGGAGGACUUCGUGCGCGAACUCAAGGCACAGUUCUACCCCGAGCACGUUGAAUACUUGGCGCGGAGGCAACUUCGACGGCUCAAGCAUACAGGAUCCCUCAAGGAGUAUGUCAAGGAAUACUCCAAGCUGAUGCUUGCCAUCACCAGCAUGGCCGAGGAGGAUCGGCUGUUCUUCUUCCUCGACGGUCUUCAAUCGUGGGCUAACAAGGAGCUCGUGGCGAGAGAUGUCAAGGACGUGAGCUCCGCUAUCGCUCAGGCGGAGAAGCUGCUAGAGUAUGACAAGCCAGACUUCGCUCGUGGCAAANUGUUGGCUGCAGUCGGUUCAUAUCAGGAAUGGGUGUGUGUUUAUAGGGGAUCUAUCGCUCUCGGUAGAGAGAUAAUUAGUUCUAUGCUAUUUGUACGGCAAAGCUCAGAAAUCCUCGGCCGGGGUAAUAUGGUGUAUGAAAAGAUGUUUCCAAGAGUAACCAUAAGAGCUUCUGUCUGAUCAAAUUUGUCAUAUGACGGGUGAUGGGGUUUGACGAAUAUUCCAUGACCUCCACUCAGUUGGAACUAUGCGAUAGAAGGAUUGUAUUGUACGGUAACUGCACCUAGAGGUUCAGUCCGAUAUUCACUUCUGACUGGAUUGCCACUACAUGCUGCUAGGCGUCACUGGUGGAUUGUGGGAACCAAUAGAAAUAAUUAUUAAUUAUUCUAUUAUGGUGGAAUCAAAAGAGUUUGAGCCAUCGAAAAGAGUUUCGAUGAUGAUGGAGAUGGAGAUCUCAUCAUAUCUCACUACCAGACAGAAUUGAACCUAUUAGGUCACACACAUAAGAAAUCGCGCAUGAUCGAUAUUUAGGAGACGAUAAAAGAAGUUUAUUGGAUGGAUUAAUUAUAAUUACAAUAUAGUUAAAUACUAAAGUUUACUAAUUUAUUAGUAAAAGGACUAAUUUACAAUUGUUGUAAAUUAGAGGUAUUUAUGUGUAAAAGUUGCAUGGUGUAUUUACUAAUCAUUAGUAAAUAAUAUGAGGACUUAUGUGUAAAUGUUACACAUGAAUCGAAUUAGAAUUAGGAUUCGGAAUUCAGUUAAUAUCAUAACCAACUUGUAGGUUAAUGGAUAAUCUAAUCGGAAUAGGAUUUCGAUUAGGAUUACGUUAGGGUUUUCUCAUUCUAAAUAUAUGUCAUAUGACAUAUUAAAAUUAAUGGAAAAUUAAGUAAAAAGGAAAAAGAAAACCCUAGCCGUCAAUCCUUUUUCUUUCUUAAGUCCUCCACAAUAAAUCCAUCGAUUUCGAUCUUCAAAAGUUGCUAGCACAUCUAGAAGAUUGAUUCAUCUUCCUCAAGUCGACGCAAGAGAUUAAUUCGUGAUCGGAUCACGGAUUGAAGCGGUCGUCUAAUUCGAUCAUGGGCGUGAUUUCGUGUGGACGCGAGUAGAGGCCGGGCGCGUGCGCGGCUAACCGAGGACGAACAAAUUUUACCAACGAUUGUCGACUUCGCGGUGAUCUCGACCCGCACGAGGUAAAAUAAAAUAAUAUAGAUCCUAUUUGAUUAGAUCAAUUAGAUCUAUUAUUAAUGAUCUAAAACGAAACACGAGGUGAUCUUUGGUUUUCAAGAAAAUUUUUCAUUGUGUUAUUUUCUUCCGCUGCGUACACAUGAUUUUCUUACACUCGCCCCUCCUCGCUCAUGCCUACGAGAUUCGCGCUCCUCACGCACGAAAGCCUCGCCAUGCUCUGCCCACAACGCUCGGUCCAACACCUUCGCAAAGGUUGUGAGCUGGAAGAUUUGCACCCUCCUAUAAAUCUCCGGUCGAAGUCCACGCAGGAACCAAUCGGCCUUAUCCUUGUCACCCGUACCACAUCCGGGACACAAUUCACGAUGCGGGAAAAUUCCAGUUCAUAUUCCCUCACGGAGCGGUCUCCUUGCCGCAGCUUCCUGAACUUGUCCCGAAGCUUUCUCCUUUCAGUGUCGGGGAAGUACGUAGAAAACAUUAAUCCCCGAAAUUCAUCCCACGCCAUAGGAGGAAGACUAGGCGAUCGAUCCCGUCGAAUGCCUUUCCACCACGCCUUUGCUGAUUGCUUCAAGCAAUGCACAGCUAGGGGUACCUUGUCCCGCUCCAAGGUGUAUAGCUCCUCGAAGAGCGUUUCCAUGGAGUCAAUCCACACCUCCACGAUCCACGGAUCGUCAUUCUCUCCAUCGAAAAUAGGCGGAUCAAAUUUCUUGAAAGUCAUUAGGGCCGCCAAAGUUCGUUCUUUCUCCGCCUCCAAUUCCAUAGAACCAGGGGCCGCUGCCCCCGAAUCCGUCGCGACUCCUGUCGGUACACGACACGCUGCUACCGGCGCAGCUGCCGCAGGCUGUCGUGUCAACAAUUCAUGGAGCUCCUUGAUCUGCUCCUCCUGUCGCUGCACUAUGCCUAUGAGCGUAUUCAAUUGCUCACGGAGCAUCGGGUCUCCGCUCGCCUCAGCUUGCUCAAGAACACUUGUCCCUUCCCGCGCCGAUCUGGAUAAGGAUCGCCUACGCGGCGCCAUCGCUUCCUGAAACACGACAACUCGAUUAGUUCUCGACCAACUUGGGUCGAACACGAGACCACUAACAACGGCUCAAAAGCCAAUCAGGCGAAAGUCACGCGAGGGCGUCUAUUCUCAUCACUAGGUUUCAUGUUGUCGUACGCCAACAUGAACAUCCUUGGCUGAGAAUAAACCACACCUCAAGUCUACCUCUAAUAUCCAUCUUAGAGGUUUACGACACAACCCGAUCCAUUAAUCUUUCGCCACAAAUCAUAAAUCCUCGUCUCUCACGAGUCUUAUUCUCCUAUGGUUUACUAUCCUAGGGUCUCCUAGGUCUGUCUAAACCACUUUCUUUUCCCAUUUUCUACUUUAUGCUCUGAUACCACUUUACCUGUCACGCCCCGAGACCGCUCCCAAUUUGGUCCGGUUCGGGCACGCCGACAGACCGCCGAACGGACCGGGGUUUCCCCUGUACGCGGACAGAGUCUCCCCUGUACGUUCUAGGCGUCGCAAUCCAAACAAUGUACAUUACAAUGGUUCCAACCAGGAACAGAUAUCAAUCAUGAUUGCGUAAGGAAGUAUCAAACAACAUAAACACAUCCUAUGUUAUUACAACAUUCACAUUAGAUUCAUUUACUUAGAUCACACUUUAUAUAUUACAUCCAACUUCCAAUACAAUCUAAGUUAUUACAAGUUUAAUACAUUUUAUUCCUUUCAUUUUCUAUACCCCUAAGCUACGCCGACGGGGUACUGCUAGCUCUGGUCUCUGGGGGUAGGGCGCUAUCUAUGGAGCUACGCCCUUGCCUCGCGCCGCCGAGUCGCUCACGUGCGAACCUGUAAAACCCCAAAACAACGUGGGGUGAGAACCAACUCCAUGGUUCCCAGUGGGUACGGCCACCCAAGGGAGGAGCUCGACCAACAGGUCCAAGGGAGGCAAAUACAAGUUAGUCCAAUAAACAGAUAGAUAUGUAUAUCAUAAACAUGCAACUAACUUUACCUUGCUUUGCCUCACAAUAGCAACGAUGCCAUGCUAUAUGCAACAGGAAUAUAUGCAACAUGAAUAUAUGCAACAACUAGUAGAAUUAUUGAUUCUACAAUCAAUCUCGCUAAUCUUAGCUCAUGUCAUCCAACUCUAAGGUUUCCACUACCUUAGGUUAUCACAUUUACCACUAGCCCUCAAGGUUCUAUCUACCUUAUUCAAGCUAGCCACCCGACUCGGCCACGAGUCAAUCAACAGCGGAUAAUCCGCGCUCUGCCCGGCUCGAGGUGAAGGAUCCUGUCGCAUGCACCUCAGCCUGCAAGCCAAGAACCACAUCGCCCAACGGUCCGCCCGAAGGUCCGUGCACCGUGGUCAGGGAUCCGUUAGUGGGAGAGGAAACAUAGCCGCGUACACCCAUAGCCAAGAUCCCCGAUAGGGAGAGGAACAUGCCGUACACCCUAGCGCUCUUUGUUCUUGCUUAGUCAUAAUCCUCAAAGUUCUUUCCGGUGGGAGAGGAACAUCGCCGCAUACACCCGCGGUCCAAGAACUAUUGAGUUCACAAGUACUGGGAUUCCGGAAUCGACUUCACAAGUCAAGGGUCCAUAUCCAACCCUAUACUGUUGACCUACCUAGGUCCAAUGCACUUUCCACCCUAGGUCCAACAGACUCUAGGUCUAAUGCCUCGAUGCCACAACCUAGGUUUACCUUAACUCUAGGUUCAGUUCUCAACCUAUAUUCUUUAACACUAGGUUAGAUGCCACACACCUAGAUCCCGACUCUAGGUUCAUACUCAACCUAUGUUCUUUAACACUAGGUUAGAUGCCACUCGUUAUUUAUCCUAGGUUCAACAACACUAGGUUCAAUGUCAUCUAGGUUCGACCUAUGUUUAUUAACACUAGGUUAAUGCCACUCGAUCUACUUGAUAUCCUAUUUGUCAUAUCGAGUCCAUAUGCACAUGCAUCUUAUCUAACAUGCUCACAUGAUGUUACAUGCACCUAGCAUACAUUCCAAUGCACACAUACAUAUCACUUGCAUUAUCACUAGCAUGUUAUCAUAUCAUUUUACAUGGAUCUACUUAGCAUUUGCAUCAUAUUAUUAACAUACAUUAUAUACAUUUAUAUGCAUCAUCUAUAUGCCUCAUUUACAUUCAUAUGCAUCAACGUGGAUUCUUAAUCAUCUUAGACAUAAAGGGCGACCUAGUCGCUUCGGUAAACACAACCCACCUUAACUCGCGUUCCGAUUGCUCGUCGACACUUGCAAUCGGCCUCCCACGGCACCCGUGACCCGGUUCGGCUCGAACUCUUGCGCGACCACCCGAACGGCCACAAAUCCGCGAUUCGUCUAUUCUGGGGUUUAUUCCAUGACACCACGAUGCUCCCGAUCCGCUUUCAUGAUUUUUGGAGGCUUAUCUCGCGUGCUGCGGCUAUCUAUACCAAAACAGACUGUUUCGUUAAUAACUUCGCGUACGCUCGUCGGAUUGUCGAACCGAGCGCACUAACGCGUUCGUUAUACCCCCAAUUAGGUUUACAGAGGGUUAAAUGAGAUCAAACCCAUCUAUUUACAAAAAUCCCAUUUUUGAGCCCUAGUUUGCGACUACGGCAAAAUACCCCGAAUCGAUCUCCGAUUCAUGCAAUAAACAUCUAACUAGCAUCAAAGGAGCCUACUAAUCUCACUUCUAGAGCAAUUAGACCUAUUUCUAGAGAUCUACCAUGAGAGGGUAACAAAGCUUACCUCUCUAGGUUCACUCCAAGCACGAGGAAGACGAAGGAGAGGAUGAAGAUCCCUUUCUUGAUCUUCUUCUCCUUCUUCUUCUCUUCUCUUCUUCUCCUUCCUCUUCUUCUUCUCUUCUUCCUUCUUCGUUUAAAGAGAGAGAGAGAGAGGUUUGGGGUUGAAACGGGUGAGGGAAAGAGAGAAAGAGAGGUUCCAACCCUCUCUAUACACUUAACCCAUGCAAUAAUUGCAUAAAAACCCCCCAACAAGUCUCUUUUUGCAACAGCCCGAACUGGGCAUUUUCGGGGUUCGGGGACCGGUCUCUACAUGAGGGACCGGUCUUUGAGAGACCGGUCUCUCUACCUGGGACCGGUCCCAGAGAGACCUCCAGCCCAGACUUAGCCAAUUUUCAGCUUCGUCCGUUUUCGCUCCGUUUUUGCCCGUUUUCGUUCGUUUGACCUCCGAUUCGUCUCAAAUCGAACCGAGACUCUUCAAACAUGUUUUCAAACAUGUUUUCAUCAUCUUUCCUUCCUCACUAAUGCCGGAUUUAGCUCACGGCCCAAUUUAGCCUUUCGGGUUCCGUUUCCGCGCCUACGCGCACCGAAACGCUCGAUAGCUCCCGAACUUCAUCAAACUUCACCGGGACCAUUCAAACGGCUCUCCAAUCGAAUGUACACCGUAACUUAAUAGUUUUAGAAGUCCGGUACCUUACACUAAUGUUGUUCCGGUUUUUGUUCUUGUGAGCGAUGACAUCGAUUCGUUCCAAAUUUACACUCUCUGGCCAUAAUAGAACAAUUUAAUUAGGUUUUACGCUUUCUUCGAUAAAAUGAGAAAAAGCACUCGUUGCAAAGUUAUACUGUUAUGGCGCAACUGAGUAGUCUAAAGUUGUUCCGGUUUUUGUUCUUGUGAGCGUUGACAUCGAUUCGUUCCAAAUUUACACUCUCUGGGCAUAAUAGAACAAUAUAAUUAGGUUUUACGCUUUCUUCGAUAAAAUGAGAAAAAGUACUCGUUGCAAAGUUAUACUGUUAGGGCGCAACUGAAUAGUCUAAUGUUGCUCCGGUUUUUGUUCUGGUGAGCGUUGACAUCGAUUUGUUCCAAAUUUACCCUCUCUGGGCAUAAUAGAACAAUAUAAUUAGGGUUUACACUUUCUCCGAUAAAAUGAGAAAAAGUACACGUUGCAAAGUUAUACUGUUAGGGCGCAACUGAGUAGUCUAAUGUUGUUCCGGUUUUUGUUCUUGUGAGCGUUGAAAUCGAUUCGUUCCAAAUUUACACUCUCUGGUCAUAAUAGAAUAAUAUAACUAGGUUUUACGCUUUCUUCGAUAAAAUGAGAAAAAGUAUUCGUUGCAAAGUUAUACUGUUAGUGCGCAACUGAGUAGUCUAAUGUUGUUCUGGUUUUUGUUCUUGUGAGCGAUGACAUCGAAUCGUUCCAAAUUUACACUCUCUGGGCAUAAUAGAACAAUAUAAUUAGGUUUUACACUUUUCUUCGAUAAAAUGAGAAAAAAUACUCGUUGCAAAGUUAUACUGUUAGGGCGCAACUGAGAAGUCUAAUGUUGUUCCGGUUUUUGUUCUUGUGAGCGUUGACAUCGAUUCAUUCCAAAUUUACACUAUCUGGGCAUAAUAGAACAAUAUAAUUAGAUUUUACGGUUUCUUCGAUAAAAUGAAAAAAAGAACUCGUUGCAAAGUUAUACUGUUAUGGAGCAACUGAGUGGUCUAAUGUUGUUCCGAUUUUUGUUCUUGUGAGCGUUAACAUCGGAUCGUUCCAAAUUUACACUCUCUGGGCAUAAUAGAACAAUAUAAUUAGGUUUUACGCUUUCUUCGAUAAAAUGAGAAAAAGUACUCGUUGCAAAGUUAUACUGUUANA
Molecule: long non-coding RNA, 56378 nt
Filed under: Ananas comosus (pineapple)
Lineage: Eukaryota; Viridiplantae; Streptophyta; Magnoliopsida; Poales; Bromeliaceae
Description: long non-coding RNA (ACOM_LNC026207)
Source: RNAcentral